AUUUCUUAAACUCUUGCAUGUUGCGAAAUGAACAUGAAACCCACUCAAGGUUCCUCAAUUUGCCCACUUCUUCCCCUCUUAAAUGUAACUCUCCCAGCAAGCAUUGCAGAUGAGAAAUCUUCACUAAUAUUCCUAUUGGUAGCUCCUUUAGAUGCCUUGACCUUAGACGAAAAUAUCUAAGGUUUUGUAACAUUUCUAUACCAUGAGGAAGCUCUUCAAUUCCUGUACCAUAAAGGUCCAACUUUCUCAGUGCUCUGAGCUCUGCUAAUGAAGGCACAUAUUUUAACCUGCCACAACUAGCAAGUAUCAAUGCAUCGAGGUUUUUCAAGUUAGAGAUGGAAUUGGGUAGAUCCUCCAAGUAAUAAUUACUAUAAAGAUUUAGAACUUUUAGUCUAGGCAUGUGCUUAAAGAAAGAUUCAGGAAUACUUUUUAAGCCACAUUGUUGCAAAAUCAAAGUUGACAAAUGAGGACACUCAGGUGAUAUGUGAGGAGGGAUUUCUAUUAAUUUUGAAUUUUGCAUCAAAGAAACCUUCUCAACACUCACUGUCCAUUCUUGCUCACUUGGGAAUUCUUUCAAUUGCAUACCUGCUUUUACCAUGAACUGAUGACCUUUAAUAUACAACGCCAUGUCCCUCAAAACAUCAUGCAUCUUAACUCCUUCUUUGCGACUCCUAGUUGUAGCCCUCUCUAGCAAGCAAUUAUUUUCAAGCUUAUUUAAAAUGCUAUGGCCUCUGUCAUGCAUUUCUUGUCUAGUCCUUAAGCCAUCAAGGAGUCCUUCAUCUAUCCAAUUUUCAAUUAAUUCAACUUCUCCAAUCACAAAAUCUUCAGAAUACAAGGAGCAAUAUAAGAAACAAUUUUGAAUUUUUGGAUCUUUCAAAUAGUCAUAACUGAACUUCAAACGCUCAAAUAUUUCAACAUCCGAUCCUUUCACACUUUUCACACGCUCUUUUAAUUCCAUUAAUGCAUUUCUCCACUCACAAAUAUCAUUUACCCCCUUCAUGCUUCCAGCUAUUGUGACAAUGCUAAGUGGUAAACCACCACAUUGCUCAACAAUUUUGUUGACAAUGUCUUUUAAAUUUUGAUCUUGUACAACACCAUGCCCCACACGAUCUAAGAAUAAGUUCAUGGACUCUGUCUUUGAAAGCGGUUGCACUUUGACCACCUUACAAUCCAUAGAUUGGCAGACCUCAAUCAAUCUACUAGUGAGUACAACUUUCCUCCCCAUACCUAUUGUUGGUUCAGGGAUACCCACAUCCAAUAGAGAAAACCGUUUCCAAACAUCGUCUAAGAUCAACACAUAUCUUUUUCCCUCCAAAAUAUCUUUUAAUGUUGAUGCUCUUUGCAGUUCAUCAUAUUUUGGAAGAGACUCUUUCAAAGAAUCUGCAAUAUCUUUUUGCAAUCUAAAAAUAUUCAAUUCUUUUGAUACAGUGAUCCAUAUCACUUGAUCAAACUUCUCACUUUCCUUUAACAAUCGAUUGUUGAUAUGCUUCAUGAUAGUAGUUUUCCCUAUACCACCCAUUCCACAUACUCCAAUCAUUCCAACCUUAUUACCCAUCAAAUACUCCCAAAUUUGUUCUUUUACAUCGAUUUCACCUUCUAGAUUUGGUGUUGGUAACAUCACCCCGGUGGUUGGAGGCCCAUCAACUGCCACAUUGUUAGGGAAACUACCGUUUUGGUGAAUUUCCUUUACCUCUUCAAUCAUUCGGCAAACAAAUUUUCCAAGACGACCACGUAAGAAGUAUGAAACAACAUGGAACUUGGUUUCAAUCUCUUCCAUUUCAGUGUUAACCUUUUCUACAGCUUUAAACCAGUACUCCACUUCUUCCCUCACCACUUUUCUGUGACGAAGCUCCUCUUCCUUUCUUGAUAUGAGGUCUCUCUUUCGGAUGUUUAAAACAUUCACUUUUUCUCGAAGAUCAUUCAUAUGUUCUUCAAGUUUUCGGUGAUGGUCAAUGUAUGUACAGGUUGGACCACCAAAGCACUUUAUCACUUCAAAAAUUUGCCCUAUAAGCUCCAUAUAAGCUAUUCCCUAGAGAUUAAACCAAGAUAUAUUAGAUCUCCAUAUGACAUAAGCUACUCCCUCCCUAAACUACAAUUCUAUAUUUUUCAUAUAAUACAGAAUAUGUUAGAAAAAAAUCUUACUAAUUAAAAUUUUUUUACCAAUUCUUCUUAAGAAAAAACAUAAUAUUUUUGAAAACAUUAUAAAAAACAAGAAGUUUUUGUUUCCGUCACUUAAUUACUAUAAUUAUUUUCCACCUAAUUAAGAGAAAAGAAGCAUGACAUAGACCAAUGAACAAAAAUAAUUAUGUGAAAGGAAAGAUGAUGAACCUAUGUUAUGAAUCUAAAACAUGAAUCCAAAUCAAUAUUAAACAAUUUAAUUUAUCUAGUCAAGUGAGGCAGAUGAGCUGGUACUUCUUCUAUUCUUAGAGUUUCUUGAUUAAGUUUGUAAAAGCAGAUCUCCUUGCAAAAAAUUGUCAAGAAAAUAGCAUCAAGCAGAUCUCCUUCCAAAAUAUCCUCUAUGAGAAGAAAAUGAGUAAUGAAGCACAUGAAUUAUUGAAAAGUGGGCAAGAUUAAUAUUUAUGUAAGAAACUAAAAUAAAUGCCCAAUUUGUGUCUUAAUAUUUAUAUAAAACUUAUGAUAAGAUGAAUUUGUGUUAUAAUUUAAGAUUUCGAUUAAUUAAUGUUAUCAAAGAUAAAACUAAAUCAUAAGUAUAGACAACCUACUUAAUUCCGUGAGGCAGGGAAGUGAUACUUCUAUCUUCAGAAGGCCCUUAAUAAAUUUGAGAAACAAGCCCAAUCAAGAAAAAUAGCAAUAACAAAUAGAUUAUCUCCUUGCGAAAAAGAAAAUCCUGAUCCUCCGAGAGAAGAGAAUUAUUGAAUUAUGAAGCAGAAAAGAAUUAAAGUCGGCAACUCAAUGCAAAGUUGAAUUAUUUUCAACCUAAUUAGGCAAAAAAGGAAAAAGAAUAGAAGCAUAAAAUAAAGAGAAAGACCCAAAAGAAAGUUUUAUGGAGUUUGUUGAAAGAUGAAUUUAUGGCAGAAGGUAAGAUUCAGAGAUGGUACCAAAGAUGAAAAAUAUAAGCGUAGAUACUUCAGCUUGUUGAUAUCACUAAGCAGAUCUCCUUGCAAAUUCCUGUGUAAUGAGAAGAGAAGGAAUUAUGAAGCAAAUAAGUCAAUGCAAGUCAUGACAUUGGUUUCGGGGUCACUUCCCUUAAAGCUGCUUUGAAAUAAAGAAAAUAUAAAUAAAAUAAAAGAUGAUGAAGUGAGCCUGAACACUCGUUCAUUUUUCUUAAAGAAACAAUAAUCUAAGUUAGGACAAAAAGGAAGCAUCCGAGAAGGAUCCUGCGUAAAUUUUUACCAUUAAAUUACUUUGUGAAAAGACAAAGUUAGGUGCGAAUUGAGCACAAGGAAAGAUGAAGCAAUUAAAAAUUCAUCCAUUGUGUUAGUGGCGAAAUAAAAUAAUGAAAAGUUAGAGAAAUAGGGAGUCAUGAUUAGUGACUUGUGGGGUAGUAAUUGGAUUCCCCUUCUAGGUGUUUUGUGUUAUGCCAUAAACUUAUUACAUUAAUCUGAAUUUAUAAUUUAUAAAGAGAAUUAUUUCAACCUGAAAACUGAAAAAUAAGUAUCCCAAUCUGCAAUAGAAUGAUUUGACUAUGCACAGAAUGUGCAUAAGCUAUGAUCUACUGAAUGUAGUCCAUUUUAUAAGGGGACAAGAAACGAAUUGCCCUGUUCUUUGAUGGAGCUUCAGCAUCAUGCUUCAACCAGAAGUUUUCUACUGAGUUAACCGGAUUGUUAGUUCCUUGAUUGAUUUUCUAGUUAAUGAGCCAUAUCAGAUUACUUAGACUUGAGAAAUAGAAUUUCAACUUCUAAGGUUCUAAAUGUGACUAGUUCACAAAAUAUAUAGAAAUAUAAGGUACAAGAAGAUGAUGAUGAAGAUCAUUAAGUAAAGAUAUUGAUGAAGUGUGACGGUCAUUUCAUUGUUGAAGAUGAUUCAUGGCCGCCCCGUGGAACUGCUUCAAAAUAGUUCUUUUCAGAUAGUCCUAAAUAAUUGCUGCUGCACACACAACAGACAAAUGUGGAUGCAGCUUAUCACUUCUGAUAGAGCAGAGGACUCCCCUAAGAAUAUGGAUCAUCUGCUAGUUCAAAUUGUCUUGACUCUUUCCACAAUCUCCAUUCCUGAUACAUAUCAAAACCAUUUUGUCAUUUAUUAGUUUGAAAACUUAAUUAGUUAAAUGAUAAUACAUUGCACAACACUUACAUGUCCAACAAGGCUCAACAUUGGUUGAUAAAACCUUCUAUUCUUCUCUCCACAUAUUAUCUCCAGCAAUAGCCAAAUAUAGUACCCAUCAACAAGUGGGUUAAUUUAUCCUUACCCCAUCAACCUUAAGUUAAGCUUUUGUUUUGGUCUGAUAGUUUAGGUGCACAAUCGAUCAAGAAGUGGAAUUUUUUCUGUCAAUAGCAAAAAUUAAAAUCAGAAACUGUUUUUUGACCAAGAAAAGAAGCAAAUAAUUGAAAUUUUGUAGUUUUAAGAAGGAAGCAAGACGAUUACCAGACGAGAAGCUGUGUUCAGCCAAAUGAAAAGGCAAUAGCAUUUCCUUAGCAUUAGGAUCAUCCCAUUCCAGUGAUUCCCACCAUUCUUCUGGAUAUAAAACGAUUUGCUCAACAGGAGGAGUGGGAGGAGAUGGUAGUCCAUUUUCAAGCAGGGGAAGAGAUAAGGGGAUCCUUUUUAACUUCGGACAUUCUAUUACCUCAAGAUAUUGACGAGAGUUUGUUGGAAUCAUAAGUCCAAAAACCACAAAUGCUUUUCUGCUCUGGUAAUUUCAACAAGGAAAGUUUCCUUAAUUUGGGAAGAAUAAAUGUUAUGUGGUAAUUGCCCUUCCUGCCUCAAUUUCCUCCAACUUUUGAAAACCCUACAGCAGCUUAAUUGAACACAACUUCUUCAUACUCGAACAGUUUCUCAAGCAAAACCUUUUGAGAGAAGAGAAAAUGGGAGGUGGUGUUGGGAUGUGAGAUGGAGAUACACAUAGAUUCAUGGUUUUCAUGAAUAAGAUAAAAAUGUUAUGAUCACCAUUUAAACAUAAUAUAUAUAUUAUAUAUAAUAUAUAUAUAUAUUAGAGUAAUCACACUAAUCAUAUCAAAUUAAACUUAUACUCAUAAUUUGCGUGCAACAUCAAAUCACCAAAUCUUAUACAGAUAAUUUAAACUAUUAAUCUUGUUUAAUUAUAUAUGUAUUCAUCAUUUGAAGGGCUUUGUAAAUUUAUAAAGUAAACAACAAUAAGCAAUAAUUAUGUUUAUUUUCAAUAUCUUGGUAUUGAUACAUCACUUCCCAAAUAUGCUUUCCUUUUCUUUUUCAUACAUAGACAUUGUCUUGUUUGGAGAUUGUAGCUAGCUAGAUACCAUUAUUGCCAGUCCAAGAGGUGACACUUUGGAGAUUGAAUAGAAUUUAAUUUUCAGGUGUUUUGGUCUUGAGAUGAGUGUCAACAUUAAUUCCUUUGGAUCUCUUGAAUUAGCUUUUGUAAAUAAAAGAAGGUAUCCCUCCUCAAACAUGGAAAAUCCCCUUUCAAACCUAUAAUUUUAAAGAAAGAAAAUCCUAAUUUAAUAGAUUAGUUGCCAACUAGGGACAAGCUCCGUUGAUGUGACAUUAAUUUUGGUAUAUUCUAACACUUGUUGACUAGAUUCAAUUGGAUAGGAUUUUUAAUUUGGGUGAAAUUUACGGGUACUGAUUAAACAAUGGAAGUGACAUUGGAGGUUCUAAGUCCCUUUCACCUAAGAGAGAAAUGAGUUUGUUCAAUUGACACAGCUUUGGUACAAACAGAAAGUAAGCUAAUACCAUAUCCAUAUUUCUCAUGUGACUUGCAACAAAUUUAAGACUGAAGUAUGGCAAAAUAUUGGGUAUUUGUAUAAAUUACAAUACAGAUAAAGAAAAAAAAAAAAGAAAGAGACUAAAUAGAAAGGGGAAGUGGAAAGAUCCCCAAAAUCAAUUAGUUGCAAGUGGAAGGAGCAAAGCCCAACUUUGUUGGCAACAAGGUCAUGUUCCCACAGAUGAUUUUGUUGCAGAGUGUUGUCAAUAAUAUUUACUUCCAAGCUGUCUUUUGGUAAAUAGAAGCUGAUAAUGGUUAUCUGGAUCAAGCUCAAAUAUAGCUCCAUCUUCAAAAAUGAAUUGCAAAUCUUGACACUGAUGAGAAAAUCAAGCCUUUUUAUUGCUUUUAAUAAAAGCGUAUAAAAUUUGAAGGGUGCUCAGUUGGGGAAUUACUAGUUCCCAAGUAAUAGUUUUAACUGCUACUUUCUUGUACCAAAUUCCCAAGAAACGAUUCUUAGAGCUUCCAGGACAAAGAAACCAAGCUUAAGGAUUCCAUCCAUCACUAACAGACUGGGAGGAGGUGGAGAUAUCGAUUCCAUCAGCAAUACUUAAAAACAAUAUUAGCAAAAUGGUGUUGGUGAACAUGAAAGACAGAAUGUCUAUUUGUCUCAACUUUCAGAGCUUGUAAAACUUAUAGAAAAACUUUUCAGUUUGGCAGAUUUUAGAGAGCAAACAUAUUUAAACUGAUGGUCGUUGACUAGUAUGCAAGUCUUCCUUGAAAAGACCAAACUUUUCAGGUUGCACAGAAUUCUUAUUUCUGAUUUUUAUGAGGCUUCAGUGUAGUCAUCUUGUAUUGUCUCUGUGAAUUGUAUAUACAUAUUAUACCCCCAAGUGGGCACUUGCAGGGUGCUAAGCUCAAACUGGGACUAAACCACUGGUAUCAAAGCAUAAGGGACAUAAACAUACGGAUCGAUAGCCUAUAAUAAUGGCUUGGAGAUGAAAGAGCUUAAGUAUACAGUUUAUCAAUUAUCGAGCAUCUAGUACUGACAGAGUUAUUUCAUUUGUGGAAGAAGAUACAUGCUUGUCUGAUGAAGAAUCUUCUUCAAGUGGACUUUUCUUAGACAAAAUACCAGGUUGUUUGGGGUGUGGCAAUUCAGUUUCACUUCCCAACAUCAGAAUCACAAAUGACAUACGUGGCCUCUCCUCAGGGAUUUUGUCAUUUAUCAGUUAGAAAUGUUGAAAAUCUCAAGGAUUUUGUUAUAUUUGCAGACCAUUAUCUGUUAAAAUGAUAAAGAUAAAACGAGAGAGAAAAUAUAAUUGAACACAAAGUCUCCCUACAGUCUUUUCAUUCAACAAUAACACUUAUAAAUACAUUUACAGGAGAGAGAAGACAACAAUAAAAUAAAACAACACGUAAAGUAAAAUAACUGCACAAUAUCCAUAUCUUACAUAAUCACCUACUUUACAAUACAAACCCACUACCUAACAUAACAAUAACUGACUCAACAUGACAAUAAUUGUAAAAGAGAAAAUAAACUGAUAUUAACUAAUAAAUUAAAAAAUUGUUGAGAAUAACUGAAUCUGAUUCUUCAAGUCAAAUCUCAUUCUUCAACAAAACUUGAUUAGUUAAAUGAUAAUACAUUUCACAACACUUUUAUGUCCAACGAGGCUCAACACUUUUGUCUGGUUGAUAAAAGCUUCUAUUUUACCUUCCACAAAUUAUCUCCAGCAAUAAUAUACCAAAGCUAAAUACACUACCCAUCAAGAAGUGGGUUAAAUUAUCCUUAACCCAUCAACAUUAAGUUAAGCCUUUGUUUUGGUCUGAUAGUUUAGGUGCGCAAUCGAUCAAGAGGUAGAAUUUUUUCUGUCAAUAAUAAAAAUUAAAAUCAGAAACUAUUUUUUGACAAAAAACAGAAGCUAAUAAUUGAAAUUUUGUAGUUUUAAGAAGGAAGCAAGACGAUUACUAGACGAGAAGCUGUGUACAGCCAAAUGAAAAGGCAAAAGCAUUUCCCUAACAUUAGGAUCAUCCCAUUCCACUGAUUCCCACCAAGUAAUUGUUUGGCCCUUGAUCCAAUAUAGACUUGGUGUAUUCUACUGAGAUUUGUAAAUUUAUUUUCUUAAAUUGAAAGCACUGUUGUGAAGAUUUUUCCCUUUCGAAAUGAUUGGUUUUUCAAUGUCAGACAAAUUAAGAAUACACCAUACUUUAGAAAUGGAAACAUAUAUAAACUACUUAUUAAAUUACUACAACAUCAAGCAAAUUACUGUAAUGAACAAGUGAUAAUGAAGUCAAUAUAAUCCAAGAAGAUAGAUUGAAGGGAGUUCAGUUGGCUAAUUGAUGCAGAGAAUAUUUGGAGCAGACUGGGUUAAUCCUUGUCCAAAACUCCUUGAAAGCCUCUUCAUAGCAAUUUCCUGUGACCAUUUACUAAGAUAGAUUGAAAGACCGCCUGCAAAUAGGAGAGAAGAAAAUGUUGAUGUAACGACCCAAGUCCAAUCACCGGCCCAGCAACUUUUCGAACCUAAACCAAUCACUGGCCUAGCAACUUUUCGAACCUAAACCACAUGGCCCUUAAAAGCUUAAGCUUAAGUUACUAGUAGUGAUGGACUUGGAUUGUUAUAUAGGUAUUAACAAUCAUAUUCAUAUUAGACGUGAGAUUUGAGGUAUCACAAUCCGACCCAUUCAGAUCCUUGAUGUCAUCAUCAAGACCACACAUCACAUUCACGAGACCAAGAUCUCAUUAGAGCAAUGUGAAAGCUCACAUCGGACUAGCGCAAGCUCUUAUACCAUUUGUAAUGACCCAAGUCCAAUCAUUGGCCCAGCAGCUUUUCGGACCUAAACCACAUGUACCUCAAAAGUUGAAACUCAAGUUACUAGUAAUGAUGGACUUAGAUUGUUAUAUAAGUUUUAACAAUCAUAUUUAUAUCAGAUGUGGGAUGUGAGGUAUCACAAUGAACUUGAGUUUAAGUUUUUGAUGACCAUGUGGUUUAAGUCUAAAAAGCUGUUGGGCCAGUGAUUGGAUUUGAGUCAUUACAAAUGGUAUCAGAGCCUACGCCAGUCCGAUGUGAGUUUUCACAUUGCUCUUAUGAGAUCUUAUUCUCGUGGAUGUGAUGUAUGGCCUUGAUGAGAACAUCAAAGAUUUGAGUUGGUGGGAUUGUGAUAUCUCACAUCCCACAUCUGAUAUGAAUGUGAUUGUUAAAACCUAUAUAACAAUUCGAGUCUAUCACUACUAGUAACUUGAGCUUAACUUUUUAAGGACCAUGUGGUUUAGGUCCUAAAAGCUAUUGGGCCAAUGAUUGGACUUGGGUUGUUACAGUUGAUUAACAUCAACAAGUACAUCCCCUAGAUAAAUGAAUAAAAAUAAACACAGAAUGUGGAUAAAAAUAAACUGAGACUAUUUGCAGUUUUAAGAAAAAACGUUGAGGACUUUACCGAUGUGAACCGUCGAGCCACAUUUAAUGGAGUAGAUUUUCUCCAUCUCAUUCUACCAAAUAAAAACAAAGGGAGAAAAGACAUGCUUAGCAUCAAGGUGAUCCCAUUGCACUGAUUCCCACCAUUCACUCUGGCUUACAUUGAUUUCUUCUAGAAAAGGAAGAGGACAUGGUUGCCCAUUUUCAAAAAGGGCAAGACACAAAGGGAUCCUCUUUAGAUUUGGACAUUUCCAUAUUCGAAGAUUUCGGAGAGAAUCUGUAGGAAUCACAACUCCACCACUGUAAAUGCUUUUCAAUUUUGGUAAGUAGAUCAUCCAUAAUGAUUUUAAUUUAAGCAGAAUGAAUGUUGUUCUUUCUCCUUUACGAUUUUCUUCUUAUUCUGAUGCUAUUAUUUCCUCUAUUUCUUUAUAGUCUUCAACUUUAAUUUCCUGUAAGUUUUAGAGACCUUGCAACAACUCAAUUGGGAACAACUUCUUCAUCUUCCAACACAAAUCUAGAUGCAAUAAUUUAAGAGAAAAGAAGAUGGUAGGUGGGGUUAGAGGAGGAGAGGUAGAACCAAAUUCAAGCGCUACUCUUACUCUCACAUGUUCAUGCAAGUUCCACAAUGACUUAAGGAAUAUCUUCUUAAUGUCAUCAAGUGUGUUGCAAGGCGACAAUGACAAGUCAACCACACACGCCGUCCCUUUACACUCCUCAAUUUAACAUAUCUUCAAGUUAGUUGCCUUACGAAACAAAGGAAUAUUGCUUAAACAUUUGAAAUCAUUACACUUCCCAAUACGUAAAGUAUGAAGGCCAUUUGGGACUAGUGUAUCUUCUAUUUUCUCCAUCUCACAAUGCAUGAAUGUUAUCUGCUUUUCAAGUUUCUCUAAAUUUUGGACAGGUAGACUAUGUAAAACCUCAGAUGAUCCUACUUCAGGAUAAAGAUUUUUAGGCCAUUUACCUUGUAUAGACUUUGCAUAUCUUGAACUCUUACAAGUCACAAAAUGAACAUGAAAGAAUCUCAAGCUUCAUCAAUUUGCCUUCUUCUUCUCCCAUUAAAUGCGGCCCUACUAUUAAGCAUUGGAGAUGAGACAUCAUCAGCAAUAUUCCUACAGGCAGCUCUUUUAUAUUAGAUGACCAUAGACGGAGAUAUCUAAGGAUUUCUAACUUUUUUAUUCCAUGAGGAGCCUCUUCAAUUCCCAUAUACAAAAGGUCCAACUUUUUAAUGCUCUAAGCUUUGCCGAGGAAGGCACACAUUUUAAUAUGUAACAACAAAAAAGUAUCAAUGCAUUAAGAUUUUUCAAGUUACAGAUGGAAUUGGGUAGAUCUACAAUCUGAGUACGAGAAAGAUCUAAAACUUUUAGGUCAGACAUGUACUUAAAUAAAGAUUCUGGAAUCCUUCUUAAGCCACAGUUUUGCAAUAUCAAAGUUGACAAACGAGGACAUUCAGGUGAUAUGUGAGGAGGGAUUUCUAUUAAUUUUGAAUUGUCUAAUAUCAAGGAAACCUUCUCAACACUCAUUGUCCAUUCCUGCUUAAUUGGUAGUUCCUUUAAUUGCAUGUAUUGAUGACCACUACUUUUAACAUACAAUGCCACGUCUCUCAAAACAUCAUGCAUCUUAACUUCUUCCGUAUAAUCAGUUGUAGUCCUUUUUAACAAGCAAUUAUUUUCAAGCUUAUUUAAAAUGCUAUGGCCUUUGUCAUACAUUGCUUGUCUAGUCCCUAAGCUAUCAAGGAGUCCCUCAUCUAUCCAUUUUUCAAUUAAGUCUGUUUUUCUAAUUCUAAAAUCCUCAAGAUACAAGGAGCAAUAUAAGAAAUGAUUUUGGAUUUCUAGAUCUCCCAAAUGGUCAUAAUUGAACUUUAAACACUCAAAUUUUUCAAUGUUCGACCCUUUCACAAUUUUCACUUGCUCCUCUAAUUCAUUUAGUGCAUUCCUUCACUCACAAAUAUCAUCUACUUCUACCCCUUUUAGGCUACUAGCCAUUGUCACAAUGAAAAGUGGUAAACCGCCACAUUGCUCAACAAUUUUGUUGACAAUAUCUUUUAAAUUUUGAUCUUGUAUAACACUAUACCCCACACAAUCUAAGAAUAUAUUCAUGGACUCUUUUUUUGAAAGCGGUUGCACUUUGACCACCUCACAACCCAUAGAUUUAUAGACCUCAAUUGAUGUACUAGUGAAAACUACUUUCCUCCCCAUACUUAAUGUUGGUUUUGGGAUUUCCUCAUUUAGUAGAGAAAGUCAUUUCCAAACAUCGUCUAAGAUCAACACAUAUCUCUUUUUCUCUAAAAUAUCUUUUAAUGUUGCUACUCGUUGCAAGUCAUCUACUGGAAGAGAUUAUUUCAAAAAAUUUGUAAUAUCUUGUUGCAAUUUGAAAAUAUUCAAUUCUUUUCAUAUAGUGACCCAUAUCACUUGAUCAAAUCAAUUAUCCUUCAACAAUUGAUUAUUGAUAUGCUUCAUGAUUGUAGUUUUCCCUAUACCACCCAUUCCACAUACUCCAAUCAUUCCAACCUCUUCACCCAUCAGAUACUCUGAAAUUUGCUCUUUCAUAUUGAUUUCACCCUCUAGAUUUGGUGUUGCUAAUGUCAUCCCAGCAAUUGAAGGCCCAUCAACCGCCACACCAUCAGGGAAACAACCUUGUUGGUAAAUUUCCAUUACUCCUUCAAUCUUUCCGCAAAGAAAUUUUCCUAGAUGGCCGCAUAAUAAGUAUGAAACAGCACAGAACUUCUUUUCAAUCUCUUUCAUUUCAGUCUUUACCCUUUGUACCUCUUUAAACCAGUUCUCCACUUCUUUCUUCACCUCUUUUCUGUGACGAAGCUCCGCAUCCUUAAUGGAUUCAACAUCUUUCUUUCGAGAUUUCAAAGCAUCCACUUUCCUUCGAAGCUCAUUCAUAUGUUCUGCAGGUUUUCGAUGAUGAUCUAUGUAUCUAUAGGUUGGAUCCCAAAAAUACUUUAUCACUUCAUAAAUUAGCCCUAAAAAGUCCAUAUAAGCUACACCCUAUAAUUUAAUAAACCAACUUAUAUUACAUCUCUACAUGAUAUAAGCUACUCCCUGUACUAAAAUUCAAUAAAAUAAUAUGUAGCCUAUACGUUACAAAAAAAAUGUUACAAAAUAAUAAAUUUUUAAUUUCAAAAUUGGAAGACUAAAUUUACUAUAUGUGAUUUUUUUAUAUAUUUUACACAUUUAAUACGAAUUCAAAUGAGAUUAGGCAAGAAUUUGUAAUUGUUAGCCUAAGUGAACAUAGAAUGACCAUUUAAUGUUAAAUAUUCAAAUUCAAAAAUGGAUAUUGUCACCCAAAAAUGUAUUUGCUAGCAUAACUCAAAUAAAAGGAAAACUUUAUAAUAUUAAAAUUUGCAUUGAUUUCACUGUUUUCUCUACCAAUUGUUUCAAAUAGCGUUUAUUGCUAUUAAUUUUUUUGACCAUGACUCCUAAUUUGAUUUUUGUUUCAUACUUAUUACUUAUUUAAUUGUUCACAUUCAUAAUUCAGAGUUUACCUUAUAUGGUUACUUCAACUUUACCUCUUAAAAUAUGAGAUAUCUUGAAAUUAAUGCUAUAAAUUGCAAAUUUUUUCUACUUACUUGGUAUGUUUUUGUUAAAGAUUAUAUAUAGUUUCUUAGGCUAUUCUCCACUCAUAUUUAGUUUCUAUGUUUCCCUAAUCCAAAUUUCCAUCAUCAAAAGUUUGAUUUCUUCUUUUUGCAGACCUCUUUGAAUUAUUCAAUUUUGUCUAUAUAUGUAUUUUGACCUCAUUGAUUUAUAAUUAUUUAGUAGUUAUGUAUUUCAACCUCUUUAAUGAACUAUUCAAUUUCUUAAUUUAUUUUCUUUAGUCAAUUGUUUUACUGUAUUCAUAUGAGUAGAUUUUCAUCAGAAUCAUUUAAUCUUCUAAGACGUUAUUCAUUAACAUGGAUACUUCCAACUUAAUUUUUUUUUACAUUCUACUUUAUAUUUUAAAUUCUUAAAAAUUAUUAUAAAAUAAAAUUAUCACCUGUGCAUUGCAUGGGGAUAAAUCUAGUUUUUGAUAAUAAUAAACAUCAUCUUAACCAAUAAUAAUGAUAAUAAUAAAUAUCAAAGACCCAAGCAAAUAUUAAUCAUUUUGAAUUGAUAGUCCUAAAUAUUUUCAAUUGUGGAUUAAUAAAAUCUAAACAUGAGUAAGGAAUAUAUAUAUUACAUCUUUUUGAUAAUUAAAACAACAAAGCUUGUGACAACAACAAUAUAUCAUAAAAAGAUAUUUAAGAAAUGAUAGAAAGAAUAAAUUGAGAGAAUAGAAUGAUAUUUAGGGUCCGUUCGUUUUGCAGUAAAAUAUUUUCCGGAAAAUAUUUUCAGGACUUAUGCUUGUUUGGUAGAUGGAAAAUUAAUUUCAGAUGUAAAACAUUUUACGAGUUAAUAGGGUUAACCAUGGAAAAUGUCUUAUACGCUUGAAUGGCGUAAGACAUUUUUCAAAGAACAACAAAAACACUUUUAUGCUAAGUUUAUGAUUAUAAGUUUGAUGAAUAUUAAUAUUUAACUUAAAAUAUUAAAAAAAUAAAAAUAUUAAUAUUUAACUUUAAAAUAAUUACUUUAAAAUAUUAAUAUUUAAAUUAUACAAUACUAUUAAAAUUAAAAAAAAUAUUAUUGUAAUGAAACCAUUCAAUACAAUUAAAUUUUUUAUUUAUAAAUGGAAUAAAUCUUAUUAAUAAUUAUAAUAAAAAAUAUUUCAAUGAUCAUUAUUUGAUUAAUACACAUUUAUAAUAGUUUUAAAUCUUACUAAUAAUUAUAAUUAAAAAUAUUUCAAUGAUCGUCAUUUAAUGAAUACACAUUUAUAAGCAUAGAUUUAGGAUAUCUUACACAAUUGAUAAAUAUUUACAUUUUAUAGUUAUGAUAAAAAAGUGAUAAAAUGGAAAUUUUUUUGAAAAUUAGAGUUUAUUUUCAUCACAGAUAUGUGGUUAAAUGNGAAAUUUUUUUUUAAAUUAGAGUUUAUUUUCAUUACAGAUAUGUGGUUAAAUGCUUUGAGAAAUAUCAUUAUUGAUUUUGUCCAUUUUCAUCUUCAUUCUUAAUUUUGAUCCCAAAUUAGUGAAAAUCAAAUAUCAAUAUUGUUUUGUAAUCAACUCCUAUUUAUUAUUUUAACGCCUAAAUAAGUCCACCAUAAUGAAAAAUAUUUUUCAUAAAAUGAUCCAAACAACUGAAAAUGUUUUCGAUAGUUUAUCCAAAUAAUAAAAUAUAUUAAAUUUUCCUAUAAAAUAUUUUACAUAGGAAAAAUUUUCCUUCAGUAAGUCAAUUUACGAUUACCAAACGGACCUUAAAGUACCUGGUUUCCUUUUCAAAUUAUUUGGAAAGACCAAGAAUAGAGGUUAAGUAGAUGAACUGCAAAUUAAUCCCCUUGGCUCCUUGCGUUAAGUAGAAAUUUUUGUGGAAAAUUAAAAAUCUUAUUUUUAACACCAGUAGUGUUAAUUCAAAUUUAUACUUGUACCAAUUCAAAUUUAUAUUUAAGAGGAGAAUCAAUCCAAUCUGAAGAGUGAAAAAGUCUUGAAUUAAUUCCUUGUUGCUGAUGUAGAGAGAUGUAGUUGUAGAAGAAACUAUGCAUAGAAGGAACAAGUUUAGCCCUUGAAAAGAGCCUUGUGGAUGGCUCUUGAUCUUUACACAAAUGCUGCAGAGAACUUGUAAAUGAUGAGCUUGCAUGGAAUUUGUAUAUCUUAAUCAUAUGAAGCUUCAGUUUGGUCCUUCAAUUUCUCUAUCUAUGAAAUAAACACAAGGCAUUGUAUAUGAACUAUUCUAUACAUCUCAACUCUUCUUGGACAUAGAGAAAACCACCUUCAACUUGCUUUGAAAUUUCCUUCCUUGGUACAUGAUGCUGUCAAGUUAAGAACAUUGAAAAAUAGGAUUCAACCUUGCAAUCUAUAUUGACAUGAGGUUAACAUAAUUCUAAUCCAGUAUUGCAACUCCAUUACUGUCGACUCAAUCUGUAAUUAAUUUAAACAUAAGGGAAAGUAAGGUUAGAUUCAUUCGCAUUGGCUUUCUCUGCCCUGCUUUUAGAAAUUUCGUUGGUGAAAUUGGAUAAUGCUUCUUUCAGAUAAAAGACUUGAAGAUACCCCUUAAUAAAAGGAUUUGACAAAUUCUAAAUAUAAUUAGUUGAAUCAUAUGCAGAAACUGAAUUUGAAUCUCAAAAAGAAGAUUUUCUUCUCAUGAAAGCCUCUGUCAAGAACAUAUCCAGAUGACUUACAAUUCAAGUGAAUUUGGAUAGUGCUUCUGAUGAAAGCCUUCGAACAUUAGAACUACAGAAGACAUACAAUUCAAGUGACCAGAUUCCAGAUCAAAUAUGAACAAAUCUUGUAAAUUAGCAUUUUCUCCGCUCCUUGUUAUGCAACGACCAAGAGGCUUUACAGGAUUACGCUGCUGAAGCUUGGCAAUCAAUUUCACAUCAUUUCAUAGCACAUACAAUCCUUGUCAAGAACUCCUUCAAAGCCUAUACACAGCAAUUUGUCAUCCAUCUGAUAAUGUACCUUGAAAGGUUAAAAGUAAAGAUUGCAAAAGGGUUUUCCUUGUACAUACGUCCGAAUCCACCUUAUCCAAGCUUCUUGUAUAUUGGUGACUUUAGCUAUAGAGGAUAGGUCAAACAAGUCGAACCUCUGUGUUUUCCUUAUUGCCUACAACGUUCUGCUCAGCUUCUCCCAUGGUUUCUUUCUCUGAAAUAGAGGGAAAUGUGCCUCCUUAAGUGUACAGUUUUAAUGAUUUUUUUUUUGGAAGAUAUAGUGAUUUUUCAAUGCUGUUUUUUCCUCUGUUUUUUCUCCACUGACAAAUGAUUGAUACGCAAUUUCUAGCAAACUAUACCUUUCGAAAAAUUUCAAGAAACAGAAGAGCUAAAUGUUAUGGUUGACAAGACAAAUGAGCUUUACCUUGUAGGUUUCUCCAGAGUUUGUAAAGGUAACAGUCAAUUAUCACCAUCCCAGCAACAAUGGCAAGGUCAAUUCUGCUUUGAGAUAACAGCCAUCCUCUUCUUAGGCUCAUCUUUAGCCUUUUCAGGUUCAGAUUUGACACAGGAAAGUCAGUUAAACUUAUUUUCAGAAAGUAAGACACAGAGUUAAAAAAUGCUAAUGACACAUGAAAAAGCAAAUGAAUUAAUGAGUUAAAAUUAGGUGCAAAUUUAAUUUUGAAGCAGAAAUUUGAAUAUAAUGUACUCGCCCACCAGAAGGUUUCUGUCUGAUAUCAAAUAAUCAAAUCACAUGACUGAAAAGUUAGUGGUAGGGCCAAGAACUGAAGGUCCAUGUUUUCCUUGAAGCUUUCAGCAUGCCCUGAUCAGUUUCUUCAAUGUUUUUCUCUUAUCUAAUGUUCUGCUCAACAAAAGAAUAAAAAAUAAAAAAAUUUAAGACUAAAUGUAAAUGCAUGGUAAACUUGCUGUCUAGCUGAGAUGGUUUUAGAAAUUACUGAAGGCAUAGUGAAUGCUAAAUUUUUAAUGAAAAUCUGAUAGCCCAAUAACCAUAGGCAAAAAACAACUUGUGAAAGGACCAACCUAUCAUUGCCAUCAUCAGCCUCUUACUCUUCAUCCUCUUCUGAAGAAAAUUCUAAAACAACUUGUGAAAGGACAUCCUUAGCAUCAGGAUCAUCAAAUUCCACUAAUUCCCACCAUUUUCUUGGAUGAACAUAGCCAUGCUCGAGAGGAGGAGGAGUUGGUUGCCCAGUUUCAAGCCGGGGUAUGGAGAAAGGGAUCUUCUUGAGCUUUAGACAAUUUAUUAUUGAAAGAAAUUGGAGAGAGUUUGCAGGAACCAUAACUCCACUAGUACAAAUGCUUUUCAGUUCCGGUAAUUUGAUCAGGUGCAAGGUCUGUAAUUUGGGAAAAACAUAUGUUGUUACUUUAGGACCCCUUUCUUCUUCUUUGUGAUUUUCUUCCUCUGCUUCUGAUGCGAUUAUUUUCUCCAUCUUCUCACAGCGAUUAACUUCAAUGUACUCUAAGUUUUGCAAGCCCCGCGACAGCUGAACUGAAAACAAAUUCUUUAUACUUGAACAACGAAACAAAUGAAAUUUCCUAAGAGAAGAGAAGAUGGCAGGCGGUGCUGGAGUGUGAGAUGUAGAGACAGCUGCUACUCUUCCUUUCACAAGUUCUUGCAAGUUGGACAAACAUCGAAGACGUAGAACCUCAAUGUUCUGCAAUGAAUUGCAAGAUGAUAACGACAAAUCAACCAUGCACUUUAUUCCUUUACACCAACUAAUAGUACAUGUCUUCAACUCAUUUGCUUUACGGCACAAAGAAAUAUUGCUCAAGCUUUUGAGAUCAUGACAUGCCUCAACAGUCAGAGUCCUAACGCAAUUUGGGAGCACCACAAGAUCUUCUUUCCCUAUCUCGCAAUUAAUAAAACAUACCUUUUUGUCAACUUCGACAUCCUCAAGAUGAGAACACCAAGGAUGGCUCCUGAUGUUGCCCAAAGUAGGUGAUCCAACUCCAAGCCAGUAUUUGGAGGGCCCUUGACCCAAUAAAGACUUGGCAUAUCUCUCAAAGUCUUGUAUUUCACAAAAGAAUCCUAGAAGAAUCUCCAGCUUCCUUAGUUUGGCUACUUCCUCUCCUCUUCUAUUCAUCCAAGUUUUCAAGUAUUGGAGAUUAGAAAGCCUUAAUAGAAUUUCCGUUGGUAGUUCCUUUAGAUUCCUUGAAUAUAAAUCAAGAUAUGUGAGGCUUUCUAACAUUUCUAUACCACGAGGGACCUCCUCAAUAAUUGUAUCAAAAAGAUCCAACUUUCUCAAGGCUGUAAGCUUGGCUAAUGAAGGCACGUAUCUUAAACUGCUACACCUUCGAAGGACAAGUGCAGUUAGAUUUUCCAAGUUAGAAAUGGAAUUGGGCAGAUCAUAAAUGCCAGUAUCCGAAAGAUCUAGAACUUUUAGCCCAUGCAUGUGGUCAAAGAAAGAUUCUGGAAUUCUUUUGAGACUAUGAUUUUCUUGCAAUAACAAGGUUGACAAAUUAAGGCAUUUCGGUGAUAUCUGAGGAACUUGUGAUAUGUAAUUGUGAAUCAAGGAAACCUUCUCAAGAUUCUCUUUCCAUUUAUGCUCACUUGGUAACUCCACUAAUUGCAUACCAGCUUGAACCAUAAAGUGAUGACACCCUCUUAUAAUAGACAAUGCCAUGUCUCUUAGAACAUCAUGCACCUUCACUUCUUCCUUAACAUUGUAAGUCAUCACCCUCUCUAACAAGCAAUUAUUUACAAGCUUAUUUAAAAUAGCGCGACCUCUGUCUUGCAUUGCCUGUCUAGUUUCUAAUUCAUCAAUGAGAUCCUCAUCUAUCCAUUUUUCAAUCAACUCUUCUUCCACAAUGUGAUAAUCUUCAGGAUACAAGGAACAAUAUAAGAAACAAUUUUGAAUUUUUGAAUCUUUCAAACGAUCAUAACUGAAUUUCAUACGCUCAAAUAUUUCAAUAUCUAACCCUUUCACACUUUUAACCCUUUCACGUAAUUCAUUUAGUGCAUUCCUCCACUCGCAAGUAUCGUCCACUCCUCUCAUGCUACUAGCUAUAGUCACAAUGGCAAGCGGUAAACCACCACAUUCGUCAACAAUAAGGUUUGCAAUUUCCUUUACAGUUGGAUGUUGUAGAACCCUAUCCCCCACCAGAUUCAAAAAUAAGUUCAAUGACACCUUCUGCGAAAGAGGCUGCACUUUAAACACCUUACAACCCAUAGAAUUACAAACCUCAAUUGAUCUACUAGUGAUUAUCACUUUGCUCCCAUUAUGUAAUGUUGGUUCCGGGAUUCCCACAUCCAAUAGAGAAAACCGUUCCCAAACAUCAUCUAAGAUCAACACAUAUCUCUUUCUUUCCAAGACUUCCAUUAAUACAGUUGCCCAUUGCAACUUAUUUUCUGGAAGACAGCAUUCUAAAGCACAUGCAAUAUCUCCUUGUAAUUUGACAGCAUUGAAUUCUCUAGAUACGGUGACCCAAAUCACUGCAUCAAACUGAUUUUCCUUCAACAAUUGAUUAUUGAUAUGCUUCAUGAUGGUAGUUUUUCCCAUUCCACCCAUACCACAUACUCCAAUCAUGCCAACCUCGUCACCCAUUAAAUUUUCCCAAAUUUGUUCCUUUACAUCGAUUUCACCUUCUAGUUUUGUUGUGAGAAAUGUCACCCCUGUAGCUGGAGGCCCAUCAAUUGUUACACCCUCAGGGAAAUUACCUCGUUGAUAAAUUUCCUUUGCUUCUUCAAUCUUCUGGCAAACAAAUUUCCCUAGGCGUGCACGUGAGAAGUAUGAAACAACACGCAAUUUCUCUUCAAUCAUUUGAAGUUCAAUAUUUAUCCGUUCUAAAUCUUCAAACCAUUUCUCCACUUCUUUCUUCACCACUCUUCUGCAACGAAUAUCUGCUUCCUUUCUGAAUUCAAGGUCUUGCUUUCGAAUAUUUAGAUCAUUCACUUUUCUUUUAAGAUCAUUCACAUUUUCCUUAAGUUUCCGAUGAUGACUAAUGGAUCUAUAGGCUGGACCCCCAAAGCACUUUACCACUUCGAAAAUUGGCCCUAGAAGCUCCAUAUAAGCUACUCCCUGUAGUUUAAAAACCAAUAUGUAUAUUACAUCUCCAUAUAAGAUACUGCUUGUACUACUAUGUUAUUAAAUCUCAAACUUUUAUCAAUUCUUCUAAAGAAAAAAAAAACAAAAGAAAAAAUAUUGCUUUUAAAAAACUUUAUUAAAUACAAGAAUCCAUCAUCUAUGAGAAUAGUGUUUAUAUUUCUAAGACUACUUAUACGUUAAUGGUUUUAUAUAUAGUAUAUGUAGAUGAAUGUAUACAUGUUUGUGUUUAUAUAUUUAUAUAUAGUGUUCAACUUUCUCACUUAAGAACCAUCACAAAUUCUUUAAAUAUGUCUGACCUGUGUUUUCGAGUCUUGAUCAUUAGAACAUUAAUAAAAGGAGGAAUAAAAAAAUGAGAAAACAAUUCUCAAUAAUAUUAAACAUCAAGGACCCAAGCAACUUUCUCACUUAAGUUGUAUCACUCUCUAACAGGUAAUUAUUUUCAAGCUUAUUUAAAAUGCCCUCUGUCAUGCUUUGUUUGUCUGGUUUCUAAGCUGCCAUGGAGCCUCUCAUCUAUCCAAGUUUCAAUUAAUUUCAUUUUCUCAAUUUCAAAUUCUUCAGGACAUAAGGAACAAUAAUAUAAGAAAAAAUUUUAAAUUUUGUAUUUCUCAAGCAAUCAUAACUAAACUUCAAACAACCAAAUAUGUUGACGUUCACACCUUUCACACUUGUCACCCACUCUUCGAAUUCAUUCAGUGCAUACCUGCACUCACAAUAUCAUCUACCCCUUUCAUGCUACUGGCUAUUAAUGUCGCAAAGCGGUAAAUCGCACAUUGCUCAACAAUUUUGUUGACAAUGUCUUUUAAAUUUCAAUCUCAUACAACACCACAUGAUCUAAGAAUAAGUUCAUGGACCACGUUUUUUAAAGUGAUUUCACUUUGACAACCACACUAUCCAUAAAUUUACAGACCUCAAUUGAUUUACUAGUGAGUACAACUUUCCUCCCCAUACCUAAUGUUGGUUUUGUGAUUCCUACAUCCAAUAGAGAAAAAAUUGUUUCUAAACAUCAUCUAAAAUCAACGCACAUCUCUUUUCCUCCAAAAUAUUAUUUAAUGUUGCUGCUUAUUGCAAUAUAUCUUUUGGAAGAGAUUGGUACGAAGAAUCUGCAAUAUCUUCUUGCAAUUUGAAAAUAUUCAAUUCUUUUAAUAGGUGAGCCAUUCCACUUUAUCAAGCCAGUUAUCCUUCAACACUUGAUUAUUUAUAUGCUUCAUGAUGGUGGUUUUCCCUAUGCCACUCAUUCCAUAUACUCCAAUCAUUCCAAUCUCAUCACUCAUCAAAUACUUCAUUUUUUAAUUUUUCUUCAAUUUCACCUUCUAGAUUUGGUGUUGGUAAUGUCACCCUGGUGGCUAAAGGCCCAUCAAUUGCCACACCAUCAAGGAAACCACCUUGUUGGUAAAUUUCCUCUAAUUCAUCAAUCAUUCAACAAAAUGAUUUUCCUGGACGACCGCAUAAGAAGUAUGAACCAACACAGAACUUCUUUUCAAUAUUUUCCAUUUCAGUCACCCUUUGUACGUCUUCAAAGGUUAAAUGGAGCACAGUAUGCAAGCCCAAAAGAUUUGGAGGACUGGGGAUCUCAAACCUUAAGCAUAAAAACUUAGCUCUCCUUGCAAAAUAUUGGUGGUGGCAGUAUGGCAACGAGGAAAACGCAUUAUGGAGGUGGCUGAUUGUAGAAAAAUAUGAAAGGGGGCAAAAUCAUUGGAUCCCCUCAUCAUCAAACAUGGGAAGAAUGUCACUGAUAUGGAGAUCCAUUGUAAAUUUACCUUCCAACAAGGGUGUUCAAGAACUUGUGUGAGACCAAGCAUGUCGCUGGAUUACUAUUUUCUUUUGGCUUUACAAAUUGAUUAAUGAUGUUCCUCUUUUCUCCAAAUUUUCUCCUCUUUUCUCUUUGAUUGUUUCAAAGGAAAUGAAAGUUGUUGACGUGCAGAACAAUCGCACUUGGUCCAUAACCUUUAAACACAAUCUACAUUUAUGGGAGAAAGAAUCCUAGGAUGAGAUCCUCCACAAGUUCUCCUCGAUUCCUUACUCCAAGGAAAAGGUGAUAAGCUCAUUUGGCGGCAUGACCCUAAGGGUGCUUACUCUAUUAAAACUUUCUACUUACUCCUUGAUGCUAAUCCUAGUGCUUGAAAGUUUGGUUCAACACUAUUUGGCACUUCUCCAUUCCACCGAAGGUGCAAUGUUUCCUAGGGCUCUCGCUCAUAUAUAGAUUCUUUACCUACCAAAGGCUUCCUUUCGUCCGAGGUGUUUAAUUCAAUGUUGAGCAACUUAGAUGCCCUUGGUGCAGCCUUGUAGUGGAGACAUUUGUUCUUUGUAUUAUCUUUCAGUAUGUUGCUAGUAGUUGAUGUAUAAUUCUCUUAGGCCAUGUUUCGGAUUGUUCUGCAUUUUGUAAGCCAGGCUGGUUAGGUUCUGUUAUGCACUCUUUGUGCACUCCCCUGUUUUUUUCAUUUUCUGUUCUGCAUCAACAGUUCAUUCCCAGCCUUGUACUUUAAAAAACCAACUUAUAUUACAUCUCCAUAAGAUAUAAGCUAUACCUUGUACUAAAAAGCAAAAGAAAAAUAAGUUUUGAAAACAUUAUUAGAAACAAGAAGUUUUUGUUUCGAUCAUCUAGGUGAAUAAUGUUUACAUUUCUAACACUAUAUUUAUCAAGCCGAAUGUAUAUACUAUUUAUAUAUAGCAUAUACUUCCCCCCCUAGAGAGCCAACACAAAUUCUUAAAUAUGUCUUGCCUACAUAUCUCAAAAAGAUAUUUAAGAAAUAAUUGCAUGAAUAAAUUGAGAGGGUAAAAUGACAUUAAAAAUACCAGGUUUCUUCUUCAGGAAAGAUGAAGAACAGGGCUCAAGUAGUACAAAUUAAUCCCCUUGGUUCCUUGCUAAGCACAAAUUUGUUGUGGAAAAUAGCUGACAUAAAAGAGGAACAAUCACUAGUGUUGUAAAGGUGAAAAGCUUAUUUGCUAAAGUUUUUGGAAUUAUUCUUAUUCUUGCUCACUAUAAUUAAUUUCAGCCUAAUUAAUAGAAUAGAAGCAUGACAAAGAAAGAACCAAAAUAAUUUUGUGCAACUUGACUAAAGAUGAUGAAAUUAUGUUACAAGAUUAUAAGAUUCUAAAGAACAUGAACCCAAAAGAUUAAAAAUCAUAAUAUAAAGGAAUAGGCAGUUCAAUUACCUGGUUAAAUGAGACAAUGAAUGGGUACGUCUCCUCUCCUUAGAGGGUCUUGGUUAUAUUGGUGGAAUGGAAGAUUAAUAUCUCCUUCUAGAAUUUGUCAAGAACAGAGCAAAAUCAGAUCUCUCUGCUGGCAAAAUAAUACUAAUUGACGAUGUGGAGCAACAAAACUUGUCACACGCCCUAUAUCUACUUUCUUAUAUUUAUAUUUCAAAGGAGAAUUAAUCCAAUUUAGAAAAGUCAUGAAUCAUAAUUUCUUGUUGCCGAAAUAGGAAGAUUUGGUUAUAGAAGAAACUACGCACAACAAGUUCAGCACUUUUGUUCUUUUUUAUAAUUAAGAAACAAACAUAACCCAAAAAGACAUAUGUUUAAGCAAUCAAUAUUGCAAGAAUAAAGGAGACGGUAGAAUGAUUGCAAGGGCUAAAGCCAUAUAUAGUAGGGGAAAGGAUAUGAAACCUGUUUCCUUCUUCAAAUUAUUUGGAAAGAUGGAGCUGAACAGGUUCUGAGCCACAAACCUCUUGGAAUUUUAUGUGGAAAAGUAACUGACAUGAAAGAAGGAGAAUCAAUAGUGUUAUGAUAAAGCUGAAACUCUUCACUUGUAGCCUAUGGGUCUAGUUUCUACUCAUUAAUGGAGAGAAUUAUUGAAUUAGGAAGCAAAAAAGAAUAUAAAGUCGGCAACUCAAUGCAAAGUCAUGAUAGGAGUUGCGAAGUCACUUUCCUUGAAUUCAAUAAAAAAACUGGCCACUUGUCCUCUCUAUAAUUCCAAUAUUGUCCUCACAAAUUUCUUUAUGUGUUAAGGAAAAGACCAUAAAUACGUAGAGAUGUUAAAACAGUGUAUCGGCUGAAUAACCAAGCUACUGUUUACUGCAAUAGAACCUUGACAUGACAUAAUUACACGUAUAAAAUUAUUCUUACUAAUAAUAAAGGUUUAAAUAUUGGUCAAGUAAUUUUGGUUGGACCACACUUGACUUUUUACUUAUAAAAAAUUUAGAAUUAUUUGUAAAAAUUAUUUUAUUCAUAACUUUUAAUAUUCAAAAAGCUUGUAAAAUAGUAAAAGAUAAAAUCAGAAAAGCAAAGCAGAGAAGAAACAAUACCAAGAAGAUAGCAACUAGCAAAAUCUUCUAUCCAAAGAGAAUGAAUUUUUGGAGCAAAAACAAAAUUAAAAAAUGGCCAAGUCAAUGCCACAAGUCGUUGCUGAGGUUUCCAAGUAACUUCCCUCGAAACAUGAUAUAUAUAAAUGCAUAUUUCCUAUUUUUUGUCGUUCGGAACAUAGAAUUUUCCUUUAUUUUUAAUCUAUUCUCACUUUGUAAAUUUUGUUUGACCAUUGGCUUUCUGAAUCUAAUCUAACCUCGUAUAAUUUCAUCAUGAGGUUUGUAUAUUAAUAAUGAUCAUUGAAGAAUCUAAAAUUAACAAUUAUCAAGUGGCCACUAAAGAAAAACUAAAAUGAAGUAUACUUUGUGUGAAAAUUUUUACUUUAUUGUUCAGAGUCUAGUCUUCUAGAGAUCAUAUUCUAUCUUGUGUGUGACAGACACCAAUUCUUAAUGCUCUGCACUGAAAACGCAAUAUACAUUUGCUGAAUCGAAAUUUAUAUUCAAAAGGAGAAAUAAUCCAAUUUAAUAAAUUACUAAAAAUGUCAUGAAUUAUAAUUCCUUGUUGCUGAUAUAGAAAGAUUUGUUUAUAGAACAAACUAUGCCCAACAAGUUUAUCCCUUGAUAUAAGUAAUGAGAAAGGAAAGAGGCUUGUGCAUGAUGGGGAUUCAGCUUCUUGCUUAUCAGCCAUUUCAGAUUACUUCAAAAAAUGAAGGGGAACAGAUCAAUUCAUUCUCUUCCAGAAUAUCCUGUUUAUUAUUUCCAUGGUUAUCGGUAUCAUAUCUGUUUAUCAAACCGAUAUAUUAUCCUUCAACAAUUGAUUAUUUAUGUCCUUCAUGAUGGCAGUUUUCCUAUGCCACCUAUUCUGCGUACUGUAAUCAUUCAAACCUCAUCACUCAUCAAAUACUCCCAAAUUCGUUCUUUAAUUUUACAUCGAUUUUAACUUUUAGAUUUGGUGUUGGUAAUGUCACCCAGGUAGCUAGAGGCCGCAUACUGUCAAGGAAACUACCUUGUUACAUUUCCUUCUUCAAUCCUUCAGCAAACAAAUAAAUUUGCUAGCAUAAAUCAAACAAAAAUCAAACUUUAUUAGAUUUAGCAAUACAUCCAAUUUCCAAAUAAAAUAAAACGGAUACAAGAUACCAUCCACUAACAGUGACACAACUCCUGCAAACAAUUCAAAAUAUAUUACAGCAUAACAAUAUUCCUCCCCUUCCCACCCCAUUUAUUUACAAUGUAUCCCAACCGGCCAAUCGGCAGGCAAAGUUGGGUAAGGGGAGUGUUGCUUCCUCGAUUACUUGCAAGUGACGUAUACUUCCACUACACCACAAUCACCAUCUAUUCUCUUGGAUUGGGUUCCGACCAGUGCAUCAAAGUGUAAACUGACAAUGUUGUGAGGCGGAAGCGUAUCUUUUUCUGCCAUCGAAUAAACUUUCCUCCUUUAAAGUGAUCUAACUUGAUAAUGUUGGUAGCUAUCUCUUUAAGUGAAGCCAUUUUGAAUGCUAAGAAAAUAAGUCUUAAAAUUGUUGGUACAAAUGGGGUUUAAAUGGAAUUCAAAAACUAGCAUAAUUGACUUCAAGACAAGCCUUUCAAUAGAAGUUAUAUUUAAAUUUAUUUUGCCCCCACCACUCAGUAUGCAAAAGAGGAAUAAUGCGAAUAGCCUUAGGGAUACAAUGAAAUCAACAUCUAACUUCAUCUUACACUUUAUGAGAGUAGACCGCUAGAUACACCUGAGGAUUUACAAAAUUAUUUGGCUUUAGAGCUUACUUUUUGCAACAAGUAGAUUAUAAGGAAUUUGGACGCUUUUGUAGUUGAUGGGAACUUAAGUGUUUACGUUAAUAGAACAAAAUAUUUUUCUUACUCUUUGAUAUUUCUGCUCUUGUUUUGUUUUUGAUUUGAUGUCUCAAAAUGGUUGGCAACAAGCCCUUCCUAUAGGCUUCCUAUAGGCUUGCAAGUGUCUCUUCUUCAAUGACCCAACCCUUUCAUUAAGGCACCAUUUUGUCUAAAAGACAUCUUUACAUUUUGUUAGACAUAACUUUUGGAUAAAUGUAUUAUUUCAAUAGUCAUCUUAUGAAAAGAUAACUAUUCAUUCUAUAAAAUAUAAUCUUUGAGUUAUAAUUUGUAAUAAUAACAUUCCGUAUUUAACUUUUGAGCUAUGGUGUCUUUUUAAUUUAUCUCAUAACUUUUGAAUGUCAUUUUACUAAGAGACAUAACCAUUCAUAUGAAAACUUGCCUACAAUCCAAUAGACACACUAUGUCACUUUAUGUGACAUAACCUUUGAGCUAAGAUAGCUUUUCAUUAUAUGAUACAAUCUUUGAUUUUGAAAAUGCACCAACAACUUUGACCUUAUAAACAACUCUAAAACCACCUUCCCCUAGCUUGAUGUCCAUAGAAAAGCUAUCAGUAGCACGAGCUACGGUAGCAAGCUCCAAUAUUGGAAGCUCCAUGUCUUCAUCCUGGCCUUGAUUUUCUUGAUCAUUUUCCUUAUUGUCUUUAGUUUCUUUAAAACAGUAGCCAAAAUAGGCUUGGCAUUCACCAUAAAAUAUGAUAGAUUCUUAUGCAUUUUGAUUGAGCUAGAUAAUUGGACAAAAAGCUGAUGUGGUUUUUGAGAUCACACAAAACCAUGUAUCUCCAGUUAUUUGCUUCAUUAACAACUCUAUUUUGACACCGAUAAGCAUUGAAGAAACUGCGUGUUGAUUUGCUAGCAUCAUUACUAACAAAGGAACAAAAUGAGCAUUAUUUGUGAAGGAUAUUUCAAAGUUACGUCUGAACUUUCUGGGGCUUCUAUAAAUGUAAUAACUGACAAUAAACAGCCCCAAAACCACAGCACAGUAGUGUUCCAAUCACUGCAGCAAGCUCCAUCCUGAGCUUAUCUUUCAAUUCUGUAUGACAGAAUUUGAUAAAGAAAAGCAUAUAUGAACAAAAAAAAGUAGUGAAAACAAGAGAAAAUGUAAACUCAUACCUGAUUUUGGAGCAGACACUCUAACAUAUAGGUCCUGCCCUACUGAUUGAAAUUUUCUGUAAUCAAUCAAAUUACCAAACCAAAAGGCGCAUCCCCAAACUCUUCCUCCAUUAUCUGAACUAGUGUAUGCUUGGCUUUCUACAUUCCAUGUGAAGUCCUGUAUCAUCAGUUUGGUUCAGAACAAGUCCUGUGAUCAAUGAUUUCUAUUUGAGACAUUUUGUAUGGUUGAAAUAUAAAAUAGAAAUACCCGGACAUUGAAGAGAUAUUGAAGAGAAUUUGCAGGAAUCAUAACUCCAAAACCACAAAUGCUUUUCAGCUCUGGUAAUUUCAAUAAGGAAAGUUUCCUUAAUUUGGGAAGAAUGAAUGUUAUGCUAACAGCCCUUCCUUCUCCUCUGUUAUUUUCUCCCUCCUCUUCUGAUUCUAUUAUUUGCUCCAUUUUUUCACAAAGCCUGACAUCAAUUUCCUCCAAAUUUUGAAAACACUGCAACAGCUUAAUUGAACACAACUUCUUCAUCCUCGAACAGUUUCUCAAGUAAAAACUUUUGAGAGAAGAGAAAAUGGCAGGUGGUGUUGGGAUCUGAGAUGGAGAUACACAUAGAUUCAUGGUUUUCAUGAAUAAGAUAAAAAUGUUAUGAUCACCAUUUAAACAUAAUAUAUAUAUAUAUUUAGAGUAAUCACACUAAUCAUAUCAAAUUAAACUCAUACUCAUAAUUUGCACGCAACAUCAAAUCACCAAAUCUUAUAUAGAUAAUUUAAACUAUUAAUCUUGUUUAAUUAUAUUUGUAUUCAUCAUUUGAAGGGCUUUGUAAAUUUGUAAAGUAAACAACAAUAAGCAAUAAUUAUGUUUAUUUUCAAUAUCUUGGUACUGAUACAUCACUUCCCAAAUAUGCUUUCCUUUUCUUUUUCAUAUAUAGACAUUGUUUUAUUUGGAGAUUGUAGCUAGCUAGACACCAUUAUUGCCAGUCCAAGAGGUGACACUUUGGAGAUUGAAUAGCAUUUAAUUUUCAGGUGUUUUGGUCUUGAGAUGAGUGGCAACAUUAAUUCUUUUGGAUCUGUUGAAUUAGCUUUUGUAUAUAAAAGAAGGUAUACCUCCUCAAACAUGGAAAAUCCCCUUUCAAACCCAUAAUUUUAAAGAAAGAAAAUCCUAAUUUAAUAGAUUAGUUGCCAACUAAGGACAAGCAUUGUUGAUGUGACAUUUAUUUUGGUAUAUUCUAACACUCGUUGACUAGAUUCAAUUGGAUAGGAUUCUUAAUUUUGAUGAGAUUUAUGGGUAGUGAUUAAACAAUGGAAGUGUUGACAAUGGAGGUUCUAAGUCCCUUGCAUCUAAGAAAGAAAUGAAUUUGUUCAAUUGACACUGCUUUGGUACAUAUAGAAAGUAAGCUAAUACCAUAGCCAUAUUUCUUACGUGACUUCCAACAAAUUUGAGACUUCAGUAUGGCAAAAUAUUGGGUAUUUGAAUAAAUUACAAUACAAAUAGAGAAAGAAAAAAGAAAGAGACUAAAUAGAAAGGGGAAGUGGAAAGAUCCCCAAAAUCAAUUAAUUGUAAGUGGAAGGAGCAAAGCCCAACUUUGUUGGCAACAAAGUCAUGUUCCCACAGAUGAUUUUGUUCUUGUUGCAGAGCGUUGUCAAUAAUAUUUACUUCCAGGCUGUCUUUUGGUAAAUAGAAGCCGAUAAUGGUUCUCUGGAUCAAGCUCAAAUAUAGCUCCAUCUUCAAAAAUGAAUUGCAAAUCCUGACACUGAAGACAAAAUCAAGCCUUGUUAUUGCUUUUAAUAAAAGCAAAUAAAAUUUGAAGGGUGUUCAGCUGGGCAAUUACUAGUUCCCAAGUAACAGUUUUAACUGCUACUUUCCUGUACCAAAUUCCCAAGCAACGAUUCUUAGAGCUUCCAGGACUAAAGAAACCAAGCUCAAGGAUUCCGUCCAUCACUAACAGACUGGGAGGAGGCGGAGAUAUCGAUUCCAUCAGCAAUACUUGAAAACAAUAUUAGUAAAACAGUGUUGGUGAACAUGGAAGACAGAAUGUCCUUUUAAACUUUCAGAGCUUGUAAAACUCAUAGAAAAACUUUUCAGUUUGGCAGAUUUUAGAGAGCAAACAUAUUUAAACUGAUGAUCGUUGACUAGUAUGCAAAUCUUCCUUGAAAAGACCAAACUUUUCAGGUUGCAUAGAAUUCUUAUUUCUAAUUUUUAUGAAGCUUCAGUGCAGUCAUCUUGUAUUGUCUCUGUGAAUCAAAUAUAUAAAUAAAUAUAUAUAUAUAUAUAUAUAUAUAUUACCCACAAAUAGACACUUGCAGGGCGCUAAGCUCAAACUGGGACUAAACCACUGGUAUCAAAGCAUAAGGUACAUGACAUACUGACUGAUAGCCUAUAAUAAUGGCUUGGAGAUAAAAGAGCUAAGUAUACAGUUUAUCAAUUAUCAAGCAUCUAGUACUGACAGAGUUAUUUCAUUUGUGGGAGACGAUACAUUCUUGUCUGAUGAAGAAUCUUAUUCAAGUGGACUUUUCUUAAACAAAACACCAGGUUGUUUGGGGUGUGGCAAUUCAUUUUCGCUUCCCAAUGUCAGAAUCACAAAUGACAUACUUGGCCUAUCCUCUGGAUAUGCUGUUGUAAACUUAAACGACUGAUAAUGGAUGAAUUGUAUCACUUCUGAUAGAUUGCAAAGACUCUCCUAAGCAUUCGUCAACAAGUUUUAAAGGACUGCCUUAUUUACAUAAUCUUCAUGCCUGCAGCAAAUUGAAACCCUUUUAGGUUUUAUCAAUCCAAGAUAGGCAACAAAAAAUUGAUUAUAAAAAUAUCUGCUGAAACUGACAUGUUCAACAAGGUUGCCGCUUUGUGUUGGAUGGUAAAGCCCUCUAUUUUUUCUUCCCACUUAUUAUCUCCAUCAAUAAUAUACCAAAGCUAAAGAGAUCUGAUUUUACUGGAAGCAGUCCAUCAAUAGCAUAUUCCGUGCCAUAUAACCACUGCAGAACAUUAUCAAAAGCAAUAAAUAUAUGAGGGUAUGUAGACAUUAUGAAAAUAAAGUGAAAGUUAGUAAGUUCCAACCACUCUUUUAGCGUUCCCUUCAGUUUGGUCUCCUCCAAAAGUUCUAGCCAGUCCAAAAUCUGAAACUUUUGGAUUCAUCUCACUAUCAAGCAGAACGUUAUUAGUUUUGAGAUCUCUGUGAAUAAAAAAAAAUUAUUCAAAUGAAAUGGCAAAGAAUCUAAUUAACUCGUUUGAAGAAACUUUGGAUUUGCUAGCAUCACCAUUAACAAAGUGUUUUUUUUUUUUUUGUUUAUUUUGCAAAGGACAACUUGGCACGAUCUCUGUAAAGGAAAUGACUGACAGUGAACAACCCCAAAAGCACAACACAGUGUUAAUGCAGGAAGUUUUAUCCUAAGCUUAUCUUUCAAUUCUGUAUGAUGAAAUUUGAUAAAGAAAAGCAUACAUGAACAAAAACAAAAAAAGCAUUGAAAACAAGAGAAAAUGUAGACUCCUACCUGAUUCUGAAGCAGACAUUUUAACAUAUAGAUCCUGCCCUUUUGAUUGAAAUUGUCUGUAAUCAAUCAGAUGAUGAAACCGAAGGGCUCAACCACUACCUAUUCCUCUGUUAUCUGAACUAGUGUAUGCCAUAUAGGAAUAGUUCUACAGAUACUUAGCCCUGCGUCCCUUAAAAUUCAUACUUUUAGUUACCCAAGAAUGUGUAGCAUCUUGCAUUUUCAAAUCUUUUAAAUCUGACAAAUCCAUCUCUACUUUGGCAGUUGAAUGGCUUAUUGUGCUUACACCUUUGGGACCAGUCUGAUGAGUUCUAUCUUUCGGGAAAUUCAGGCUUAAACAUCAGCUUUCAGGGAAUUAAGGCUUGAAUCCUUUAAAAAGUGCAAGCUGAGCACCAUCACGAUUCCUUUUUGAACCACAAAGUCCAUAUCUGUCACAGUAGUCUCUUGGAGCAAAUGAGAAAAGCAUCCAAGCUUGCUUUCUGCAUUUCAUGUGUAGUCCUGUGAUCAAUGAUUUCUAUUUGAGACGCUUUGGAUGGUUGACAUAUAUAAUAGAAAUACCAGGUGGGUAGAUCAUGCAUUGUUUUCAUAAGAUGAUGUGAUUGAGUGACUUUUGAUGAAUGCAGAAUACACAAAGUGCAGCAGAAAACAAAUUAUAAACAUUGAGGUCCCAGAUAAUUUGUAUUUUUCAAUAAUAUGCAGCUUGUUCCUCUAAUCAUUCUCUUGAGUGGACAAACAUAACUUCAAUGACUUACUUGUAUUAAAUGAUUUCCAAUUCAUGAACCAGUUGAGACCAGUGUGGAUGCGUUUUCUCACAUCUGAUAGGUUGCAGGACAGUCCUAAGAAUUCACCACCGAGUUCAACAGGGGUGCCUUCCUCUCAUAAUCUCCAUGCCUGCAGCAAAUUGAAAACCUUUUAGUCAUUUUAUUAAAGUAUUUUAAUUCAUAAUAAUUAAAGUAUUUUAUUUAAGUGUUAAAGUUCUAUUUAUAGUAGUAGUAAUUAUUAUUAUUAUUAUUAUUAUUAUUAUGAGUGUGUGUGUGUGUCUUUUUUUGUUUUAAAAUUUGAAAAAAAAAAUUAAAACCAAAUUUGAAAAAUGUGAGUGAAAAUGAAAAUAAAGGAAAGGGGUAGGACGUGUCAGAUAGCAAUUGGCUGAGAUAUGCAGAUUGAAGGGUGUUUAGUUGGAGAUUUUUCUAUCAUUCAUAAAAUUAAAGACUUGGUUUUAUGUUUAUAUUAAAAAAGAGAAAUUAUUUAGCAAAUGAGAAAUUAAGAGAUAAAAAUAUUUAGCAAAUGAGAAAGAGAUGAAAAUAAACUCACAAUUAAUGUUUGCUGUUUUUAAUAAGAAGCAAGAGCCUUGCACCCUCAUUUAAUCAAACACCUCUUCUCCAUCUCAUUCUACCAAUACUGAACAAAGGGAGAAAGGACAUCCUUAGCAUCAGGCUGAUCCCAUUCCACUGAUUCCCACCAUUCUCUCGGGCUUACUAUGAUUCGUUUUAGAAAAGGAGGAGGCAAUGGUUUCCCAUUUUCAACAAGGGGAAGAGACAAUGGGAUCCUCUUUACUUCUGGACAAUCGAAUAAUGUGACAUGUUGGAGAGAAUCUACAGGAAUCACAAGUCCACCACGGCAUAUGCUUUUCAAUUUUGGUAAUUCUUCCAAGACUAAUGAUUUUAAUUUGGGAAGAAUAAAUGUUGUUCCUUCUCGUUCCUGAUUUUCUUCUGAUGCUAUUAUUUCCUCCAUUUCAUAACAAUUUCCAACUAUAAUUUCCUCUAAGUUUUGGAGGCUUUGCAACAGCUCAACUGGAUACAACUUCUUAAUCUCGUAACAAGAAUACAGUUUCAGUGUUUUAAGAGAAGAGAAGAAGGCAGGUGGUGUUGGAGCAUGAGAGGUAGAUUCAAUUUCUGCUGCUACUCCUACUCUCACAACUUCACGCAAGUUCCACAAUGACUCAAGCCAUAGCUCCUCAACGUUGUGAAGUGCGUUGCAAGACCAUGAUGACAAGUCAACCACACACUCUAUCCCUUCACACCUCCGAAUUCUACAUUUCUUCAAGUCAGUUGCCUUACGAAACAAAGGAAUAUGGCUUAAACAUUUGAAAUCAUUACACCCCUCAAUACGUAAAGUAUGAAGGUCAUUUGGGAGCACUACAUCGUCACACCUUUCUAUCUCCAAAUUUGUGAAUUCAACAUUUUUCUCAAUUUCGUUGAAAUCUGGGGAAUACCCAAUAUAAAUAUUCACAUCUGGUCCCACUUGAAAAUCGAAAGAUGUAGGCCAUUUACCUUGUGUAGACUCUGCAUAUUUCUUAAACUCUUGCAUGUCGCAAAAUGAACAUGAAACACACUCAAGCUUCCUCAAUUUGCCUACUUCUUCCCCCCUUAAAUGUAACUCCACCAGUAAGCAUUGCAGAUGAGAAAUCUUCACUAAUAUUCCCAUUGGUAGCUCCUUUAGAUGCGUUGACCCUAGACGAAAAUAUCUAAGGUUUUGUAACAUUUCUAUACCAUGAGGAAACUCCUCAAUGCUUGUACUAAAAAGGUCCAACUUUCUCAGUGCUCUGAGCUCUGCUAAUGAAGGCACAUAUUUUAACAUGUGACAAUUAGCAAGUAUCAAUGCAUUGAGAUUUUUCAACUUAGAGAUGGAAUUGGGUAGAUUCUCAAUCUCAUAAUUACCAGAAAGAUUUAGAACUUUUAGCCCAAGCAUGUGCUCAAAGAAAGAUUCUGAAAUCCUUUUUAAGUCACAAUAUUGCAAUAUCAAAGUUGACAAAUGAGGACAUUCAGGUGAUAUGUGAGCAGGGAUUUCUAUUAAUUUUGAAUUUCGCAUCAAAGAAACCUUCUCAACACUCGUUGUCCAUUCUUGCUCACUUGGUAGUUCCUCCAACUGCACAUUGGCUUUUACCAUGAACUGAUGACCUUUAAUAUACAAUGCCAGGUCUCUCAAAACAUCAUGCAUCUUAACUCCUCUUUCAUCCAAAUAAGUUUCAUCCCUCUCUAACAAGCAAUUAUUUUCAAGCUUAUUUAAAAUGCUAUGGCCUCUGUCAUGCAUUUCUUUUCUAGUCCUCAAGCCAUCAAGGAGUCCUUCAUCUAUCCAGUUUUCAAUUAAUUCAACUUUUUCAAUCACAAAAUCUUCAGGAUACAAGGAGCAAUAUAAGAAACAAUUUUGAAUUUUUGGAUCUUUCAAAUGGUCAUAACUGAACCUCAAACGCUCAAAUAUUUCAACAUCUGAUCCUUUCACACUUUUCACAUGCUCUUCUAAUUCAGUUAAUGCAUUUCUCCACUCACAAAUAUCAUUUACCCCCUUCAUGCUUUCAGCUAUUGUGACAAUGCUAAGUGGUAAACCGCCACAGUGCUCAACAAUUUUGUUGACAAUGUCUUUUAAAUUUUGAUCUUGUACAACACUAUGCCCCACAUGAUCUAAGAAUAAGUUCAUGGACUCUGUCUUUGAAAGUGGUUGCACUUUGACCACCUUACAAUCCAUAGAUUGACAAACCUCAAUCGAUCUACUAGUGAGUACAACUUUCCUCUCCAUGCCUAGUAUUGGUUCAGGGAUUCCCACAUCCAAUAAAGAAAAUCGUUUCCAAACAUCAUCUAAAAUUAACACAUAUCUUUUUCUCUCCAAAACAUCCUUUAUUGUUGUUGCUUGUUGCAAUUUAUUUUUAGGAAGAGAUUGUUUAAGAGAAUCUGCGAUAUCUUCUUGCAAUUUGAAAAUAUUCAAAUUUUUUGAUACAGUGACCCAUAUCACUUUAUCAAACUUCUCACUUUCCUUUAACAAUUGAUUAUUGAUAUGCUUCAUGAUGGUAGUUUUCCCUAUACCACCCAUUCCACAUAUUCCAAUCAUUCCAACCUUAUCACCCAUCAAAUACUUCCAAAUUUGCUCUAUUACAUCAAUUUCACCUUUUAUAUUUGGUGUUGGUAAUGUCACCCCAGCGGUUGGAGGCCCAUCAACUGCCACACCGUUAGGGAAACUACCUUGUUGGUGAAUUUCCUUUACCUCUUCAAUCUUUCGACAAACAAAUUUUCCAAAAUGACCACGUAAGAAGUAUGAAACAACACGGAACUUGGUUUCAAUCUUUUCCAUUUCAGUGUUUACCUUUUCUACAUCUUUAAACCAAUUCUCCACUUCUUUCUUCACCACUUUUCCAUGACGAAGCUCCGCUUCCUUUUUUAAUACGAGGUCUUCCUUUUGAUCAUUUAGAUCAUUCACUUUUCUUCGAAGAUCAUUCAUAUGUUCUUCAAGUUUCGGGUGAUGAUCUAUGUAUGUACAGAUUGGACCACCAAAGCACUUUAUUGCUUCAAAAAUUGGCCCUAUAAGCUCCAUAUAAGCUAUUCCCUGUAGUUUAAUAAACCAAGAUAUAUUAUAUCUCCAUAUGACAUAAGCUACUCCCUCUUUAUACUAAAAUUCUAUAUUUUCCAUAUAAUAUAGAAUAUGUUAGAAAAAAAUGUUACUAAAUAAAAGAUUUUUACCAAUUCUUCUUAAGAAAAAACAUAAUAUUUUUGAAAACAAUAUAAGAAAAAAGAUGUUUUUGUUUCCAUCAUGUUUGAGUAUAAUAUUUACAUUUCCAACACUGUUUAUAUCUAAAUGAAUGUAUUCAUUUUGCCCCUUAAAGAACCAUCGCAAAUUCUUGAAUAUAUCAUAUCUAUAUGGUUCCUAGUUUUGAUCAUUACAACAAUAAUAAAAGGAUGGUGAGAAUGGAGAAGUCAAUCUACUAUAAAUAUAUAAAUAACAAAAUUUUGAUAAAAGAAGGAAACGAUUUAAAAUUGAUAACUUCCUCUUCUAACACAUACACAUAUUAAAUAAAUGUUAUAUAUUUAUUAAUCAAUGCAAAAUUUUAAUUUUCAUAUUGAAAGACUAAAUUUACUAAAUUUGAUUAUCCAUUUUACACAUUUAAUAAAAAUUUAAGUUAGAAUAUGUAAGAAUAUCUAAUUGUUAGCGUUAAUAACUGUAGAAAUUACCAUUUAAUGUUGAAAAUGGAUAUUUUGACAAAAAAAAAUACAGGUAUAAUGCUAAAAAAACCCUUGAAUUAUUUACGAAAAUUUAAAAAAAAUUAUUCUUUUAUUAUGUUCAACCAUGCCCUUAUGCUUUUAUUUAAUUUAUAUUAAAUAAGCCUUUAUAACUAAUAGUUGAUUAAUUGUUAUUAAUCAAAAUAUCUCUCGUCAUUUUAUACUCACGUGGUGUUGAUGUGGCGUUGAUGUGUGGAGUAAAGAAUGAGAUAUGAUUAUGUCAUCAUACCACAUCAACAAGCUUUAAAAUAUCUUAAACAAUAAUUACAAGAAUAAACUGAGAAUGCAGAAUGACAUUAAAAAUACAUAAUUUCUUCUACAAAUUAUUUGGAAAGACGAAGAGCAGAGGUUAAGUUGACCAGUCAAUAAUUAAUUCCUUGGCUCCUUGUUAGGUACUACUCCUAUCUUGAGAGGACGUUGGUUAAAUAUGGGGAGAAAGGGACUGUCAAAAAAAAAUUAUCGGGAGAAAGGGAAGAUUAAUAUAUAAUUAUUCAUAAACAGUUGUUUUUAUACUAGAGCUAGAAUAUUUCCUUAUAUUGGAGGUUUAUUAUAAAAUAAAUCAGGGCUAGUACAACUAAUCUAUUUAAACUUAACGGCCAUUUUUUCUUUUGAUGGGAAAAAUAAAAACAAAGAGAAUUUCACAAACAUCUCAUAUAAGAUUAAUAAAUGUCAUAUAUUUGUAUUAAAUAAAUGUCAGGUAUCAAUGUAAAGUUUUAAUUUUGAUAUUCAAAGACUAAAUUUAGUACAUUUGAUUAUUUUCAUAUAUUCAGUUUACACAUUUAAUACAAAUUUAAAUUAGAUAAUUAGGUAAGAAUUUCUAAUUGUUAGCCUAAAUGAAUAUUGAAAUGACCACUUAAUGUUAAAAAUGGAUAUUUUCAUGCAAAAGCAUAUAUUUGAUAGCAUAACUCAAACAAAAGAAAAACUUUAUACUAUUAAAAUUUGCACUGAUUCCAUUUCGUUCUUUUCUAAUUGUUUCAUAAUGCUUGUAUUGUCUAUUAUUUCUAUUAAUUUUUUUUAACAAUUACUCCUAAUUUGAAUUUUCAGUACUUAUUACUAAUAUAAUAGUUAGUCAACAAUUUACAGUCAAAAUUUACCUUAUAUAAUUACUUAUUGCUUUACCUUACAAAUAUGAGAUGUUGGUACAUUUUUGUUAGAGACUAUAGUUGCUUAGGUUAUUUUAAUCCUUUUUUUCCCAUAUAUUUUGUCUACUAAUAUUUAGUUUUAUGGUUCCCUAGUCUCAAUUCCAUCAUCAAAAGUUUGAUUUCUUCUUUUUGUAUGCCUCUUUGAAUUAUUCAAUUCGAUCUUUAUAUAUAUUUUGACCUCUUUGAUUUAUUAUUAUUUGGUAAUUAUGUAUUUCGAAGUCCUUGCUGAAUUAUUCAAUUUCUUUAUUUUUUUAGUAAAUUGUUUUACUAUGCUCAUAUUUGUAAAUUUUCAUCAAAAUCAAUUACUCUUCCAACUAUCAAGAUCUUUAAGACAUUAUUGAUCAACAUGCAUAAUUCCAAUUUUUUUUUUUGGCAAUUUUUUAAUGUUCUUAUUUAGAUUCUAAAUUAAAAGAAUUAUUGUAAAUAACAUCAUCACCCUUGUACUGAACUGACUAAAUAUAGUUUUGAAUAAUAAUAAACAUCAUCUAGGCCAAAAAUAAUAAUAAAAUAUUAAACAUCAAUGACCAAAGAAAUAUUAAGCAUUUUGAAUAUUCGUAAAGAUUUUCAAUUGAGUCUCCUUGAUGAAUUAUUCAAUUUCUUUAUUUUUUAAGUAAAUUGUUUUACUUUAUUCGUAUUUGUAAAUUUUCAUUAAAAUCAUUUAUUCUUCUAAUUAUCAAGAUCUUUACGACGUUGUUCAUUGCAUGGGAAAAUUUUCAUUAAAAUCAUAUAUUUUAUGUUGUUAUCAAUAUUCCUAACUAAAAAGUAUAUAUUGUAAAUAAAAUCCUCAACCUCGCAUUGCACGGGCUAAAUCUAGUUUUCAAUAACAUCACCUAAAAUAAUAAUAAUAAUAAUAAACAUCAAACAACCAAGCAAAUAUUAAUCAUUUUGAAUAGUGUAAUCUAUCCAUACGUAAGGAAUAGUAUAUCUUUUCGAUAAUUAGAACAAGAAAGCUUGUGAAAACAACAAUAUAUCUCAAAAAAGACAUUUGAAAAAUACUUGCCAGAAUAAACAGAGAAUGACAUACAAAACACCUGGUUUCUUCUUCAAAUUAUUUGGAAAGAUGAAGCCCAAAGGUCAAUUAAAAUGAUCCACAAACCUCCCUGACUCUUUGUUCAGCACAAACUUCUUAGGCAGAAGAAACAAAUUGACAUAAAAUUAACAAGGAAAAUUAUUUUAAUAAAAAUGAAAAUUUUAUGUGCUAAAAUUUUCAGAAUCAUUCAUUUUCAGUUUUCACUAACUAUAAUUAAUUUUCACCUAAUUAAGUGAAAAAAAGCAUGACACAGACCAAUAAACAAAAUAAUUAUGUGGAAGGAAAGAUGAUGAAUCUGUGUUAUAAAUCUAAAAUAUGAACCCAUAUCUAUACUAAACAGUUUAAUUUACCUAGUCAAAUGAGGCAGAUGAGCUGAUACUUCUAUCCUCAAGGAUUCUUGCUUAAGUUUGCAAAAGUAGAUCUCCUUGCAAAAAAUUGUCAAGAAAAUAGCAACAAGCAGAUCUCCUUCCGAAAAUAUCCUCUAUGAAGGAAAAUGAAUAAUGAAGCACAUGAGUUAUUGAAAAGUGGGAAAGAUUAAUAUUUAUGUAAGAAACUGAAAUAAAUGCCCAACUUGUGUCUUAAUAUUGACAUGGAACUUAUAAUAAGAUGAAUUUAUGUUAUAAUUUAAGAUUCUGAUUAAUUAAUGUUAUCAAAGAUAAAACUAAAUCAUAAGUACACACAACUUAAUUCAGUAAGGCAGUGAAGUGAUAUUUCUAUCCUGAAAAGACCCUCAAUUAAUUGGAGAAACAAGUGCAGUCAAGAAAAAUAGCAGCAACAAAUAGAUUAUCUCCUUGCAAAAAAGAAAUCCCCAAUCCUAUGAGAGAAGAGAAUCAAUGGAUUAUGAAGAAAAAAAAUUAAAGUCGGCAGCACCCAAUCAAUUGACUCUUUGGUUGAUGCAUGAUUCUUUUUUAUCUAAAGAGUAGGCUUUAAAUCCCUCUUUCCCCAAUUAAAAAGAAAGAAUAAAAAUCAGAAAAUAUAAAGAAAAUGAAUUAUGAAAAACAUGAACUAUUGAAAAGUGGGCAAGAUGAAUAUUUGUACGGAUCUUAUGUUAAGAUGGGUUUGUGUUAUAAGGUAAGUUUCUGAUUAAUUAAUGUUACCAAAGAUGAAAGCAAAUAAUAAGCAUAGACAGUUUACCUGGGUCAGUGAGGCAGUGAAUUAAUUGAUACUUCUAUCCUCAAAAGGUCUUUAUUAAUUUUCGGAAACAAGCAUGUGGAAGAAAAAUAAACAGCAACAAGCAGAUGAUCUCCUUGCCAAAUUAAAAGAAAAUCCUAAACUUAAUCUUCCGUGAGAGGAAAAUUAAUGAAUUAUGAAGCAAAUAAGAGUUAAAAGUCAAUCCAAAGUCGUCGCACUAGUUGUGAAGUCACUUUCCUCGGAGCUGUUUCACAAUAAUGCAAAUGUGAAUAGAAGAAAAACUGGCAAAGUAGGACAGAAUUAUGGGGCCACUUAUCCUACUCUCCUUCAUUAUUUGAAAAGAUAAAUUGUUGAAGAAUAGCCCUCAAUUGGGGUAUUUCCAUUCCAUCAUCCGCUGUUUAAAUCAGAAAAAAAGAAGCAGCAAAGCAAAGCCAAGGUAAGAUGAUAGCAGCUAGGAAAAUCUCUUGUCCAAAUAUUAAUAUAUAUCUUUCGUGCCAAGAGAUAAUAAAUUAUGAGAAAAAAUAAUUAAUAGUCGUUGGGAAAGGUGAGUCAAUGCAGCAAGUCAUCGUUAAAAUUAAAUUAUGGGAAAAAAAAUAAUAGUAGGUGAGACAAUGCUGUAAGUCAUUGCUAACAUUGCUAACGUUUGCACCAAACUUUAAAUUAUGGGGAAAAAAUUAAUUAAUAGUCAAUGAGUCAAUGCUGCAAGUCGUUGCUAACAUUCCGAACGUUUGAACCAAACUUUAAAUUAUGGGGAAAAAAAUAAUUAAUAGUCAAUGAGUCAAUGCUAAAAUAUUGCUAACAUUUGUACAAAACUUUAAAUUAUGAGAAAAAAAUAAUUAAUAGAUAGUGAGUCAAUGCUAACAAUAUUGCUAACAUAUGUACAAAUCUUAUAUAAAUCUUAAUAAUUAUUAUAUGAAUCUUCUAUAAAGCCGAUUGACUUGAGAAAAGAUAAACAGGGAAAGUAAGGUUAUCCUCGAAUUUUUUCUUUUUAUUAACAUAUGACAAGUUCCCAGGCAAAAGCGAAAAUUCAAAUUAUUUCUAUAAUGAAGGGCUAAUUAACACCUUAUUAAUUGUUAAUUAAGUCUCCUUAAAACUACUCAUUCAGAUAAAUCAUAAUGUUUUUCCUUUUGAUAUAUAUAAAAAAGCUGUUCUAACUAUAUGAAUUUGUUCGAUCAUUGAUUUUCUCAAUCAAUCAGUUAGAGUUGAGCAGCAGAUAAUGUUUUAAGAAGUUGACGUGAAUAAAAUAUUGUGAGACAAUGAGCAGAGGGAAUGAGUAAACAAAUAUAUUACUCGACUCUAUAACAAAGAGUAGGAACUUCAAAUGUCAAUCUAUGAUUUAAUUAUCGGAUUAAUAUGUGCUACUAACACAAUCAAUGGUCCUGAAUAUCAAGAGUUGUUUGUUAUUAACACUACUCUGAAUUAGUAUUUGUAAUGUUUUUCCUUUAUUCUUAAUCAAUUCUAGAUAUGGAAAUUUGUUUGACCGUUGGCUUUCUGAAUCUAUCAGGAAUUGAAUAGACAAGGUGUUGUUAUAGGAAAGUUCAUGCAAUUGAAUACAUAAAGUGUGAAGUAAUGAGCAGCCAUUUUUAAUUAUUGAUUAAGUUGCUGCAGUUCUGAAACUCGUGAUUAUGAUGAGAUGUAAAUUUGAUGAAGUUAUUAUAACCCAAGAUUAAUUUAAUCAGCUAUCAAUGUCAAAGAACUUCACUUUCCUAGCUCAUAAACCGUGAACAGCCAUUUUUAAAUCUUGCUUGCAGUGUGUACAGAUCAUAUAUCUCAGAUGAUAGAGUUCGGCAGGAAAUCAAUCGAAUGAUUGGGCUAAAGCCAAGAUCUUCCAUGCUGAUAAGAAUAAAUGUAUCUGAUUGAGAGAAACUGAAUAUGCCUACUCCAUAAAAACAAUGAAUCAAAAUAUUAUUAUGCCUGUAAAUAUUUUUAUGGUACAUUAAAGGCAAAGAACUUGACAUGGGACAGGCAACAAGAUCGUCGAUAACAUCAUCAAUGAUUACAUUCGAGCCUUCUAUUAAGUUUAUGUAACAAAUACAAAUAAGUAAUGGCUUAUCAUGCAUUCUUAUUUUUGUUAUGAUAUGAGCAUUAAACGACUCUUCCUCAAUGAAACAUCUGAAAGAGUGUAGGAUAAAAGAAAUCAAAACAAUUUACAACUGAUGAAGUUUCAGUCCAGUCAUCUUGUUAAUGUCUCUGUGAGACAAAUAUACCGCAAGUAGGCACUUGCAGGGUGCUAUGCUCAAAUUGGGACUAAACUACCGGUAUCAAAGCCUAAGGUACAAAACAUACUGCUCAAUAGCAUAUAAUAAUAAUGACUUGGAGAUGAAAGAGUUAAGUAUACAGUUAAUCAAUUAUCGAGCAUCUAGUACUGACAGGGUCAUUUCAUUUGUCGAAGAAGAUACAUGAUUGUCUGAUGAAGAACCUUCUUCAUGAAGUGGUCUUUUCAGCAAUAGAAAACUACGUUGUAUGGGUGUGGCAAUUUAGUUUCACUUCCCAACAUCAGAAUCACAGAUGACAUACUUGGCCUAUCCUCAGGAUGCUGUUGUACACUUAAAAGACUAAUAUGGAUGCAUUGUAUCACUUCUAAUAGGUUGCAAGACUCUUCUAAGCAUUCUUCAACAAGUUCUGAAGGGUGCCUUAUUUCCAUAAUCUCCAUGCCUGCAACAAAUUGAAACCCUUUUAGGUUUUAUCAGACCAAGAUAAGCAACUAAAAUUUGAUUAUAAUCCCUGCUUAAAGAGCAGGGUUCAAAUCCCCCUUCCCCCAAGUCCAAAAAAAAAAAAUCGGCUGAAACUGACAUGCUCAACAAGGUUGGCGCUCUGAGUUGGAUGGUAAAGGCCUCUAUCUUUCUUCCCACUUAAUAUCUCCAGCAGUAAUAUACCAGAGCUAAAGACAAUUGAUUUUGCUGAAAAUAGUCCAUCAAUAGCAUAUUCUGGUGCCAUAUAACCACUGCAGAACAUCAUUUAAAGCAAUAAAUAUAUGAGGAUUUUUAGACAUUAUGAAAUAAAGUGACACUUACUAAGUUCCAGCCACUCUUUUAGCAUUCCCUUCAGUUUGGUCUCCUCCAAAAGUUCUAGCCGAGCCAAAAUCUGAAAAUUUUGGAUUCAUCUCACUAUCAAGCAGGACGUUACUACCUUUAAGAUCUCUAAAUAAUCCUCAAUCCUGAAUCUUGAUGAAGAUAGAGUAGUCCCCUAGCAUUGUCACAGAUAAUUCCCAAACUCUUGGACCAAUUCAGUCCUUUACUUCUUGUUUGAUCUGGCAAUUGGUAGGUAUUCUCUUCAUGUCAGUCCAAUAUCAUUUUUGAUCUUUGGAAGCAGCAAACUGCACCAUGUGUAAAAUGUAUGAAAUAUUUAUAAUAAGAGAAACAAUAAACCAAACCAAAUUGACAGGUUUUCAAUGAUUCAGACCACAAAUGAAUGAGUGAAGGCUUCUGUUAAGCAUGUACUCAUAAACCAGCAGUCUUUACUUUCUGUGAAUGCACCACCCAAGAAGCCUUACAAGAUUCUGAUGUUGAAGUUUGGCAAUCAAUUUUACUUCAUUUUUAAACUCUUUCAAUCUUGUCCAGAACUUUUUGAAAGCCUCUUCACAGCAAUUUCUUGUCCGUUUGCUAGUGUCCCCUGGAAAACUACACUUUAGAUUGAGCUUCAAUAAUAAAGAUAAAUUCUCUGUACUUAAGGUAACUUCAAUUAUAUGAUGCAACUUUUACCUUAUAAACAGUUCCAAAACCACCUUCCCUUACCUUGAUGUCCACAGAAAAGCUAUCAGCAGCACGAGCUAUGGUAUGAGGCUCAAAUAUUGGAAGCUCCAUGUCUUCAUCUUGGCCUUGAUUUUCUUGAUCAUUUUCCUUAUUGUCUUUUGUUUCUCUGAAACAGUAGCCAAAAUAGGCUUGGCAAUCACCAUAAAAUAUGAUAGAUUCUUAUGCAUUUUGAUUGAGCUAGAUAAUUGGACAAAAAGCUGAUGUGGUUUUUGAGAUCACACAAGACCAUGCAUCUCCAGUCAUUUGCUUCAUUAAAAACUCUAUUUUCACACUGAUAAGCAUUGAAGAAACUGCAUGUUGAUUUGCUAGCAUCACUAUUAACAAAGUAAUUUUUAACAAAGGAACAAAAUGAGCAUUUUUGUGAAGGAUAUAUCAAAGUUACCUUUCAACUUUCUGGGGCUUCUGUAAAUGUAAUAACUGACAAUAAACAGCCCCGAAAGCACAGGACAGUAGUGUUCUAAUCACUGCAGCAAGCUCCAUCCUAAGCUUAUCUUUCAAUUCUGUAUGACGGAAUUUGAUAAAGAAAAGCAUAUAUGAACAAAAAAAAGUAAUGAAAACAAGAGAAAAUGUACACUCAUACCUGAUUUUGAAGCAGACAUUCUAACAUAUAGAUCCUGCCCUACUGAUUGAAACUGUUUGUAAUCAAUCAAAUUAUCAAACCAAAAGGCGCAACCACAACCUCUUCCUCCAUUAUCUGAACUAGUGUAUGCUUGGCUUUCUGCAUUCCAUGUGAAGUCUUGUAUCAUCAGUUUGGUUGAGAACAAGUCCUGUGAUCAAUGAUUUCUAUUUGAGACAUUUUGUAUGGUUGAAAUAUCAAAUAGAAAUACCAGGCUGAUAGAUCAUGCAUUCUUUUAUAGGAUGAUGUGAUUGACUGACUCUUCAUCAAUGAACUAUACACAAAGUGCAGUAGAAAACAAGUAACAAACAUUUAGAUUUAUGAUAACUUGUCAAUAUGGGGGGCUAAACUUCUUUGAUAAAAAUUCGAAGUUUAUUUCAUGAUGUCCUGAGCUUAGCUAGGCAUCUUUCUAAACGCUCAAAAAGCGUUUUAUAGCUAAUGGACAGAUUAGUGAUCUGAAGAGGUAGUAAUCUUGUUUUUAAUCUUUAGCCAGGGCCUUUUGGCUAGCUGCUCACUCACUUUCAAAGAAGUGCUUCUAAACAUUUAUGAGAAAUAGGGGAUGCUCUGUUUGUAAUUGCAGGGUAAAGACAAAUUUUUAAUUAGUGGUUUGUCAUGACCAGUAAUAUCUCUCCAAUACCUAUGUUGAGAAGAGAGAAAAAUAAAAUGGCUAAGAGCAAUGUUAUACAUGAAAUGGGUUUACAUAGACAUUGAGUUUCAAAGGAGCCGUAGCUGGUACUGUUAUAAAGUUUGGACUGAGAAGGAGAAAGUUUUAUGCAUCAUUUUGUGGAUGAAUGAGGUAAGAAGAUUUAGUACAUAAAAAGGUAUUCGAUUGGGGAUUUUACCGCCAUACAUAAAAUUAAAAACCUUAUUUUCUUUUUUAUAAAAAGAAGAGCAAUUAUAUACCAAAUGAGAAAGAGAUAAAUGAAUAAAAAUAAAAACAGAAUGUUUGCAAUUUUAACAAGAAGCAAGAGGGCACUGUACCAUUGAGGGCCGUGGAGCCACAUUUAAUCGAAUAGCUCUUCUCCAUCUCAUUCUAAUUAUAUGUAACAAAGGGAGAAAGGACAUCCUUAGCAUCAGGCUGAUUCCAUUUCUUCUCCUUUGUGAUUUUCUUCCGAUGCUAUUAUUUCCUCCAUUUCUUCACAACUGCUAACACUAAUUUCCUCUAAGUUUUGGAGGCUCUUCAACAGCUCAACUGGAAACAACUUCUUAAUCUUCGAACAUCUACACAUAUCUAAUAUUUUAAGAGAAGAGAAGAUGGUAGGUGGUGUUGGAGCAUCAGAGUAAUUCUUUAGCAAAUGAGAAAGAGAUGAAAAUAAACUCACAAUUAAUGUUUGCAGUUCUUAAUAAGAAGCAAGAGCCUUACAGCCACAAUUAAUCAAACACCAAUUCUCCAUCUCAUUCUACCAAUAUUGAACAAAGGGAGAAAGGACCUCCUUAGCAUCAGGCUGAUCCCAUUCCACUGAUUCCCACCAUUCUCUCGGGCUUACUGUCAUUUUUGGUAGAGAAGGAGGAGGAGAUGGUUUCCCAUUUUCAACAAGGGGAAGAGACAAAGGGAUCCUCUUAACUUCUGGACAUUCAACUAUAUGAAGAAAUUGGAGAGAAUCUGCAGGAAUCAUAAGUCCACCGCUGCAAAUGCUUUUCAAUUUUGGUAAUUCUUCCAAGACUAAUGAUUUUAAUUUGGGAAGAAUAAAUGUUGUUCCUUCUCCUUUGUGAUUUUCUUCUGAUGCUAUUAUUUCCUCCAUUUCAUCACAAUAUCUAACAUCAAUAUUCUCUAAGUUUGGGAGGCCUUGCAACUGCUCAACUGGAAACAACUUCUUCACCCUCGAACAAAAACUGAUAUCUAAUUUUUUAAGAGAAGAGAAGAUGGCAGGUGGUGUUGGAGAAUGAGAGGUAGAUUCAAUUUCAACUGCUACUCCUACUCUCACAACUUCACGCAAGUUUUUCAACAAAAAUAGGCGUAACUCCUCAAUGUUGUCAAGUGCGUCACAAGACGAUAAUGACAAGUCAACCACACACUCCAUCCCUUUACACUGCCAAAUUCGACAUUCCUUCCAGUCAGUCGCCUUACGAAACAAAGGAAUGUUGUUUAAACAUUUGAAAUCAUCAUACUUGUCAAUAGUUAAAGUUUGAAGGUCAUGUGGGACCACCCUAGGGACCAGUCUGAUGAGUUCUAUCUUUCAGGGAAUUCAGGCUUAAACAUCAACUUUCAGGGAAUUAAGGCUUGAAUCCUUCAAAAAGUGGGAGCUGAGUACCAUCACAAUUCCCUUUUGAACCACAAAGUCCAUAUCUGUCAAAAUAGUCUCUUGGAGCAAAUGAGAAAAGCAUCCAAGCUUGCUUUCUGCAUUUCAUGUGUAGUCCUGUGAUCAAUGAUUUCUAUUUGAGACACUUAUGAUGGUUGACAUAAAAAAUAGAAAUACCAAGUGGGUAGAUCAUGCGCUGUUUUCAUAGGAUAAUGUGAUUGAUUGACUUUUGAUGAAUGAAGUAUACACAAAGUGCAGCAGAAAACAAAUUAUAAACAUUCUCUUCAUUGGACAAACAUAACUUCAAUGACUUACUUGUAUUAAAUGAUUUCCAAUUCAUCAACCAUUUGAGACUAGUGUGGAUGUGCAGGAUAGUCCUAAGAAUUCAUCACCAAGUUCAACAGGGGUGCCUUCCUUCCUCCCAUAAUCUCCAAGCCUGCAGCAAAUUGAAAACCUUUUAGUCAUUUUGCUAUAUCUUUCAACAUUUUAAUUCAUAAUAAUCAAAGUAUUUUUGAAACAUGCGAGUGAAAAUGAAAAUAAAGGAAACGGGUGGGAAGGUGUAAUAGGAGGGGAUGUAGGAAAUGUGAGAUAGCAAUUGGCGGAGAAAUGCAGAUUGAAGGGUGUUGAGUUGGAGAAUUUAUUUUUAUAUUAAAAAUAAAAAGUUAAAGACUUAGUUUUAUUUUGAUAUUAAAAAAGAGAAAUUAUUUAACAAAUGAGAAAUUAAGAGAUAAAAAGAGGACGUGGAUGAAAAUAAACUCACAGUGUUUGCAGUUCUUAAUAAGAAGCAGGAGCCUUACAGCCACAUUUAAUCAAACACCUCUUCUCCAUCUCAUUCUACCACUGAGAAUAUCGAAGAAAGGGAGAAAGGACAUCCUUAGCAUCAGGCUGAUCCCAUUCCACUGAUUCCCACCAUUCUCUCGACCAUACUGUGAUUUCUUUUAGAGAAGGAGGAAGAGAUGGUUUCCCAUUUUCAACAAGGGGAAGAGACAAAGGGAUCCUCUUUACUUCUGGACAUUUGAUUAUAUAAAGAUAUUGGAGAGAAUCUGUAGGAAUCAUAAGUCCACCACUGCAAAUGCUUUUCAAUUUUGGUAACGUAGCCAACUUUAAUGAUUUUAAUUUGGGAAGAAUAAAUGUUGUUCCUUCUCCUUUGUGAUUUUCUUCUAAUGCUAUUAUUUCCUCCAUUUCAUCACAAUAUCUAACAUCAAUAUUCUCUAAGUUUGGGAGGCCUUGCAACUGCUCAACUGGAAACAACUUCUUCACCCUCGAACAAAAACUCAUACGGAAUCGUUUAAGAGAAGAGAAGAUGGCAGGUGGUGUUGGAGCAUGAGAGGUAGAUUCAAUUUCAACCGCUACUCCUACUCUCACAACUUCACGCAAGUUUUCCAUCAAAAAUAGGCCUAACUCCUCAAUGUUGUCAAGUGCGUCACAAGACGAUGAUGACAACUCAACCACACACUCCAUCCCUUCACACUCCCCAAUUCGACAUUCCUUAAAGUCAGUCGCCUUACGAAACAAAGGAAUGUUGUUUAAACAUUUGAAAUCAUCAUCCUUGUUAAUAGUUAAAGUUUGAAGGUCAUGUGGGACCACCCUAUCAUCACACCUCUCUAUCUCCAAAUUUCUAAAUUCAACCUUUUUCUUAAUUUCUUUGAAAUCUGGGAAUCCCCGAUAUAAAUACCCUUAAGUGGUCCCACUUGAAAAAAGAAAGAUGUAGGCCAUUUACCUUGCGUACACUCUGCGUAUUUAUUAAACUCUUGCACGUUGCGAAAUGAACAUGAAACCCACUCGAGCUUCCUCAAUUGGCCUACUUCUUCUCCCUUUACAAACGUAUCCUCUAGCAUUAAGCAUUGGAGAUGACAAAUCCUCCGUAAUAUUCCUACUGGUAGCUCUUUUAAAGCCCAUGACCUCAUACGAAGAUCUCUCAAGUUUUCUAACAUCUCUAUGCCAUGAGGAACCUCUCCAAUUCCUGUACCCGAAAGGUCCAACUUUCUUAGUGAUGUGAGCUCUACUAAGGAAGGCACAUAUUUUAACUGGUUACAACAAAAGAGUAUCAAUGCAUUGAGAGUUUUCAAGUUAGAGNUCCUGUAGCAUUAAGCAUUGGAGAUGACAAAUCCUCCGUAAUAUUCCUACUGGUAGCUCUUUUAAAGCCCAUGACCUCAUACGAAGAUCUCUCAAGUUUUCUAACAUCUCUAUGCCAUGAGGAACCUCUCCAAUUCCUGUACCCGAAAGGUCCAACUUUCUUAGUGAUGUGAGCUCUACUAAGGAAGGCACAUAUUUUAACUGGUUACAACAAAAGAGUAUCAAUGCAUUGAGAGUUUUCAAGUUUGAGAUCGACUUCGGCAGAUACUUUAAGAAAAUAUUAUGUGAAAGAUUUAAAACUUUUAACUCAGGCAUGUGCUUAAAAAAAGAUUCUGAAAUCCUUUGUAAGCCACAAUUUUGCAGUUUCAAAGUUGAUAAAUGAGGCCAUCUAG
RNAcentral lists this long non-coding RNA (47727 nucleotides) under Theobroma cacao (cacao). RNAcentral's name for it is "long non-coding RNA (TCAC_LNC004222)". Lineage: Eukaryota; Viridiplantae; Streptophyta; Magnoliopsida; Malvales; Malvaceae. The record is from RNAcentral.